RNAcentral lists this long non-coding RNA (56811 nucleotides) under Triticum aestivum (bread wheat). Its description in RNAcentral is "long non-coding RNA (TAES_LNC005571)". The record is from RNAcentral. Lineage: Eukaryota; Viridiplantae; Streptophyta; Magnoliopsida; Poales; Poaceae.
AUUGAGUGCCAAAGAUUGCACUACCUAGAUCUAUCUUGGCUUUUAUGCCUAGCUAGGGGCGUUAAACGAUAGCGCUAGUUGGAAGGCAACCCAAUUUUAUUUGUGUUUUUUGUUUUUGUUUCUGUUUAGUAAUAAAUUUUGCAUCUACCUUCUGUUCAGAUGUGUUUUUAUGUUUUAGUUAGUGUUUGUGCCAAGUAGAACCUAUAGGAUAACCUAUGAUGAUAGUUGAUUUGAUUCUGCUGAAAAAUAGAAACUUUGCGCGCACGAAAUUAGUUUUGUUAAAUCACAAAAACGUGCUUUUGUGUUUAUUCUUUUUGAUUUUGAUCAAUAGAUAAAUUGUACAGGACUUCCUAUUUUGUUAGGAUUUUUAGAGUUCCAGAAGUUUGCGUUAGUUACAGAUUGCUACAGAAUGUUCCAUUUUUGAUAGAUUCUGUUUUUCGUGUGUUGUUUGCUUAUUUUGAUUCAUCUAUGGCCAGUAUUAGGUGGUAUGGACCAUAGAGAACUUGGAAUACAGUAGGUUUAACACCAAAAUAAAUAAAGAAUGAGUUCACUAAAGUACCUUAUGUGGUGGUUUUGUUUUCUUUCACUAACGGAGCUUAUGAGAUUUCCUAUAGAGUUUUGUGUUGUGAAGUUUUCAAGUUUUGGGUAAAGCUUUGAUGGACUAUGGAAUAAGGAGUGGCAAGAGCCUAAGCUUGGGGAUGCCAAUGGCACCCUAAGAUAUUCAAGGAUAGCCAAAAGCCUAAGCUUGGGGAUGCCCCGGGAAGGCAUCCCCUCUUUCGUCUUCGUUCAUUGGUAACUUUACUUGGAGCUAUAUUUUUAUUCACCACAUGAUAUGUGUUUUGCUUGGAGCAUCGUGUAUUAUAUUAGUCUUUGCCUUUUAGUUUACCACAAUCAUCCUUGAUGUACACACCUUUUGGGAGAAGCCCACUUGAUUGAAUUUAUUAGAAUAUGCUAUGUGCUUCACUUAUAUCUUUUGAGCUUGAUAGUUUUUGCUGUAGUGCUUUACUUAUAUCUUUUAGAGCACAGCGGUGGCUUAAUUUUGUAGAAAUUUCUAGUCUCGCAUGCUUCACUUAUAUUAUUUUGAGAGUCUCUUAGAACAGCAUGGUAUUUGCUAUGGUUAUAAAAUUGGUCCUAGAAUGGUAGGCAUCCAAGUUGGGUAUAAUAAAAACUAUCAUAGGAAGUGAAUUGGAUGCUAUGAUCAAUUUGAUACUUGAUAAUUGUUUUGAGAUAUGGAGGUAGUGAUAUUAAAGUCAUGCUAGUUUUGUGAUUAUGAAUUUAAAGAGUGCUUGUGUUGAAGUUAGCAAGUCCCGUAGCAUGCACAUAUGGUUAAAGUUGUGUAACAAAUUUGAAAUAUGAAGUGUACCUAGGUUGUGCAUCCUUAUGAGUGGUGGUCGGGGACGAGCGAUGGACUUUUCCUACCAAUCUAUCCCUCUAGGAGCAUGCGCGUAGUGCUUGAUUUUUGAUGACUUCUAAAUUUUUGCAAUAAGUAUAUGAGUUCUUUUGACUAAUGUUGAGUCCAUGGAUUAUACGCACUUUUACCUUUCCACCAUUGCUAGCCUCUUCGGUACCGUGCAUUACCCUUUCUCACCUUGAGAGUUGGUGCAAACUUCGCCGGUGCAUCCAAACCCCGUGAUAUGAUACGCUCUAUCACACAUAAACCUCCUUAUAUCUUUCUCAAAACAGCCACCGUACCUACCUAUUAUGGCAUUUCCAUAGCCAUUCCAAGAUAUAUUGCCAUGCAACUUUCCACCGUUCCGUUCAUCAUCAUCAUGACAUACUUUACUUUUGUCAUAUUGCCAUUGCAUGAUCAUGUAGUUGACAUCGUAUUUGUGGCAAAGCCACCAUGCAUAAUUUUUCAUACAUGUCACUCUUGAUUCAUUGCACCAUCCCGGUACACCGCCGGAGGCAUUCAUAUAGAGUCAUAUCUUGUUCUAGUUUCGAGUUGUAAUUCAUAUAUUGUAAUCAAUGGAAGUGUGAUGAUCAUCAUAUAUUAGAGCAUUGCCCAAAAAGGAAAAAAAGAAAAAAAGGCCAAAAAAAAGAAAGGCCAAAGAAGAAAAAGAAAAAAAAGAAAAAAGAAAGAAAAAAGAAAAUAAAUAAAAGGGGCAAUGUUACUAUCUCUUUUUCCAUACUUGAGCUUCAAAGUAGCACCUUGUUCUUCAUAUAGUGAGUCUCAUAUAUUGUGCUUCAAAGUAGCACCAUGUUUUUCAUAUAGUGAGUCUCAUAUGUUGUCACUUUCAUAUACUAGUGGGAAUUUUUCAUUAUAGAACUUGGCUUGUAUAUUCCUACGAUGGGCUUCCUCAAAUGCCCUAGGUCUUCGUGAGCAAGCAACUUGGAUGCACACCCACUAGUUUUCUUUUGUUGAGCAUUCAUUUAUAACUCUAGUGCAUCCGUUGCAUGGCAAUCUCUACUCCUCAUGUUGACAUCAAUUGAUGGGCAUCUCCAUAGCCCGUUGAUUAUCCUCGUCAAUGUGAGACUUUCUCCUUUUUUGUCUUCUCCACACAAUCCCCAUCAUCAUAUUAUAUUCCACCCAUAGUGCUAUAUCCAUGGCUCAUGCUCAUGUAUUGCGUGAAGAUUGAAAAAGUUUGAGAUUAUUUAAGUACGAAACAAUGCUUGGCUUGUCACCAGGGCUGUAGAAUUUGGGAACAUCUUUGUGUGACGAAAAUGAAGCAUAGCCUAACUAUAUAAUUUUGUAGGGAUGAACUUUCUUUAGCCAUGUUAUUUUGGGAAGACAUGAUUGCUUUGAUUAGUAUGCUUGAAGUAUUACAAUUUCUUUUAUCAAUAUGAACUUUUAUUUUGAAUCAUUUGGAUCUGAACAUUCAUGCCACAAUAAAGAAAAUUACAUUGAGAACUAUGCUAGGUAGCAUUCCACAUCAAAAAUUCUGUUUUUAUCAUUUAGCUACUCGAGGACGAGCAGGAAUUAAGCUUGGGGAUGCUUGAUACGUCUCCAACGUAUCUAUAAUUUUUGAUUGUUCCAUGCUAUUAUAUUACCCCUUUUGGAUGUUUAUGGGCUUUAUUUUACAUAUUUAUAUCAUUUUUGGGACUAACCUACUAACUGGAGGCCCAGCCCGUAUUGCUGUUUUUUUGCCUAUUUCAGUAUUUCAAAGAAAAGGGAUAUCAAACGGAGUCCAAACGGAAUGGAACCUUCGGGAGCGUGAUUUUUGGAACGAACGUGAUCCAGAGGACUUGGAGCGCAAGUCAAGAAGCAAUCGAGGCGGACAGGAGAUAGGAGGGCGCGCCCACCCCUCCUGGGCGCGCUCCCGUGUCUCCUGGGCCCCACGAGCGGCCACCGACAUACUUCUUCCUCCUAUAUAUACCUACGUACCCCGAAAACAUCCAGGGAGCCAAUGAAAAACAAUUUCCACCGCCGUAACCUUCUGUAUCCGCGAGAUCCCAUCUUGGAGCCUUCGUCGGCGCUCCGCCGGAGGGGGAAUCGACCAUGGAGGGCUUCUACAUCAACACCAUAGCCCCUUCGAUGAGUUGUGAGUAGUUUACCACAGACCUUCGGGUCCAUAGUUAUUAGCUAGAUGGCUUCUUCUCUCUUUUUGGAUCUCAAUACAAUGUUCUCCCCCUCUCUUGUGGAGAUCUAUUUGAUGUAACUCUUUUUGCAGUGUGUUUGUCGAGAUCCGAUGAAUUGUGGGUUUAUGAUCAAGUUUAUCUAUGAGAAAUAUUUGAAUCUUCUCUGAAUUCUUUUAUGUAUGAUUGAGUUAUCUUUGCAAGUCUCUUCGAAUUAUCAGUUUGGUUUGGCCUACUAGAUUGAUCUUUCUUGCCAUGGGAGAAGUGCUUAGCUCUGGGUUCAAUCUUGCGGUGUCCUUACCCAGUGACAGAAAGGGUUGCAAGGCACGUAUUGUAUUGUUGCCAUCGAGGAUAAAAAGAUGGGGUUUAUGUCAUAUUGCUUGAGUUUAUACCUCUACAUCAUGUCAUCUUUAUUAAUGUGUUACUCUAUUCUUAUGAAGUUAAUUUUCUAGAUGCAUGCUGGAUAGCGGUUGAUGUGUGGAGUAAUAGUAGUAGAUGCAGGCAAGAGUCGCUCUACUUGUCGCGGACGUGAUGCCUAUAUACAUGAUCAUGCCUAGAUAAUCUCAUAAUUAUUCGCUUUUCUAUCAAUUGCUCGACAGUAAUUUAUUCACCCACCGUAAUACUUAUGCUAUCUUGAGAAAAGCCACUAGUGAAACCUAUGGCCCCCGGGUCUAUCUUUUAUCAUAUAAGCUUUCAAUCUAAUUUUAUUUGCAUCUUUACUUUUCGCAUCUAUAUUAUAAAAUACCAAAAAUAUAUUUAUCUUAUCAUACUAUCUCUAUCAGAUCUCACUUUCGCAAGUGGCCGUGAAGGGAUUGACAACCCCUUUAUUGCGUUGGUUUCGAGUUCUUUGUUUGUUUGUGUAGGUGUGUGGGACUUUUGAGGAGCCUCCUACUGGAUUGAUACCUUGGUUCUCAAAAACUGAGGGAAAUACUUAUGCUACUUUGCUGCAUCACCCUUUCCUCUUCAAGGAAAACCAACGCAAGCUCAAGACGUAGUAGUUAUCGGGAUAAACUUUUUCUGAGCUGAAUCUAAAAGUAGCAACAUAAUUUGGAACCUAGUCAUUUCACAAACCUAAGAGGUGUUAGGCACAUGUGAAACAUACACUAACGCAAAACAAAAAUUUCCUACCGCACAACCAAAAACAUACUACCGGGGAUAGAUCAAGGAUUAGGUUUUACGACUAGAAGUGCAGUAACGACAGUGGAAGUAGAGUUGGUGAUGCUCGACGUGUCUCCUCCUCGUGGAUCCCUCGAACCAUUCCUCGCGGUUCCCUUGAAUGAUCGAUCAAAGCACCGCAGGUGCAGCAUCUCCAAGGUAUCCACACGUAUGAAGCAACAUCACUCGCCGGAUUGCUAGAUCCCAAUGGGCAACUUGGGUGGAGGAGUGGUGUCCACAGUUGGAUGGGAGACAAACAUCAACCCUAAAGCGUGUGCCCCAUUCUCCUUUAUAUAGACCUUCCUAAUGGGCUUAGAUCCAUUAGUGCUCUAAUCCCAGUCUAAUUUGAACCCUAAUUUGAAUCAUACUUCCUGCCCCUUAAGUGUGCGACCCUAUAGGUUCACGUGUACAUGGACACAACCCGAGUCAAUAGAUUAUAGAUGGUAGAGGUUCCUAGCAGAACGUGCCAACUUUCACUAUAGCAUGAUGCUACUAACGCGACACUACGAUCAAAGACCCUUUGAAGAUACUGUGUGCGAUGCAUUAAUCACAAACGGCGAUGUAAAAAAUCAUCAAAAAAGGUGCAAAACGUUUGCGAUUGUGGAUACAUCAAACACUGUUCAGAUUUUAGUUGUGUGUGCCAUGCUAGGCAUAUGAUUGAGUUCAAUGAACGGUUUGCGAUGAGGCGGAACAAAAGAAACAGGCAGCCAGAUGAAGGCGUGUGCGAUAUAUGGCAUAUAGUUCACUCGGAUGAACUGUUUGUGAUUAGGCAACACAAAAGAAACGGUGAGUGAUAUCAAGGUGUGUGCGAUACAUGGCAUACGGUUCACUUGGAUGAAUGGUUUGCUUUGAGCCAAGAGAACACACUACAAAAAAUACACUUUCGUGAUGAUACGUGUUUGUCACAGUAGGUCACAUUCUUUGUCAUGCAUGUACAUCCUUGACGAUUUUAUGAAAGAAUCAAGAUAGUCAUACCUAUGAUGUCGUAGAAGUGUUCCAUGACAUUACCAAAAUUAUCAUCACGGAAGUGUCCACUUCCAUGACGAUAAAUCGCGAGUCAUGGAAGUGCUUUCACGAAGGGUGACCGACACGUGGCAUCCACCUUAACGGGUUGCCGUUAAGCUAUCGGGUCCAAUUUUGGAUCCGAUAACCCGCUAACAGCCCCGACCAUUGGGGAUUUUCCAUGUGUAAAAUUAUCAUUGGCCGCAGGAUCCACGUGUCAGCUCAGCGUUGGGACAUAUGUCUCCACUCAUAGUACAAGAGGCGCCUAUGAUACGUCGGCACGUGGCAAGGCCCACCAGUGGCCCAUUCCAGUGAAAAAGGUUGGCCCAUCAAAAAUUAGCAGGCCGGCCCAUAUAAGGCCUACUUGUGUUAGGUCCAUUUAAGCCCACGAUCCAUACGAGAUGUGCCAAUUAGGCCCGUUAACGAUUUGACACCAUUGCAUCCCAUCGUCAGUUCGAGCCCGUUAACAGCCCGCUAUACAUUUGGGCUCAAUAUCGGUCCAAUGUGGUUUCGGCCUGUUAACGGCCCAUCCAAGGGAUGGGUCAAUUUUCAGGAUGUACGACUUUUGGCCUUUUAAUGACCCAUUUAAGUGUUGGGCCAAUUUCCAGCCCGGUGUGUCUUCCAGCCUGUUAACGGCCCAUAAUGAGUUGUGCCACUUAUAGUCGGACCUGAGUUUUGGCCUUUUAACGGCCCAUGCUCUUCAUGGUCUAAUACCAGGCCGAUUUCUCUUUCGGCCUGCUAAAGGCCCACAACACAGUUGGGCCAUAUACAACACGACCUAACUUUUGGCCUCUUAGUAGCCCAUGCUCUUCAUGGUCCUGUACGAGCCCGCUUUCUCUUUCGGCCUGCUAAAGGCCCACAACAUAGUUGGGCCAUAUGUAGACCGACCUUAGUAUCGGCCUGUUAAUGGCCCGUGAAAUCAAAUGGGCCCACCUGUUGCCCGCUUCAAUGUCGGCUUGUUAAUGACCCUGGAGGUAACAUGCCCGAGCAUUAACUGUCGGCCCGAUAGCGCUUUCGGCCUGGUUAUGGCCCAUUAACGUAAUGGGCCCACUAAAGUUCAAACAUGUUUGUAGGCCCAAUUAGAUAAUUUGAUCCCAUUACGACGAGAAAUUAUGCAUAGGACCAAAACCGAUCAAUCAAAGGCCUUAAGAAUUUUGGCCCCUAAGAGCCCAUUAGGGAAGCGCAUUAAGGGCAGUGGGCUACUUACUUCAUAUAGGGCCCACGACUGUUCGUGCUAACUAAUAAUAUCACCGGUUUUUUAGCUUCCUAGCGACCAGUUAGCUGGAAUGUGAGGCGCGCUAAGCAAAGGUACUCCAUACAAGGAAAAACGUUGCACAUCCAGCAUAUAUUACAGGAAAUUACAUCCACUGGGCAAUCAAAGAUUGAUGCCAGUGCAAAUAAAUGAACAGAACCUAACGAUCUACAAUGUCACAAUCUGCAACCUCAGCGCGGAUGAUGCCCAUAAGCAUGUGAGAAAGUUGUUCCUUCUUUGCUACACUAUCUCCGAAAACAUUGAUCAGUUGUUGCGCAAGAAAGUGCACCUCUGAUUCCUCCAUGAUUUCCAUCAUUGCUUCAGCCAGUAAUUGGUUCACAAACAUACAUCUUCUCCGUUGCAUUCGAGAUAGAGGAAACUGAGCAGAUUCAGAUGGCGAUUUUGGCAGGCUUGUAUUACCGAUAAUGGAGAGUGUCUCAGCCACUGCAUCAUAACAUAAAUUAGGAUGGGAAACGAACAGAUUAAUCAAGAGUUAUUGCCAUAUUACCUAGCCUAGAUUUAUUGGAAAGAAACAAUGGGGUUGCCUUGCUGCUUUCAGAGUUUGUCUUCUUAUCUUCAGCAGCCUGCACCAAAUUAACACACUAGCAUUGCUAUCAUUGGCCAGGUCAGAUAAUAGGAAAGCAACAUUGACACAACGAACGUUUGGGCAACCAGACCACACCAGCCUACACCAAAUUAACACAAUAUGGCACAACUAUCAUCAGCCAAGUAAGGUAAUACGAAAGCAACAUUGACACAAUGAAUAAAUGGGCAACCAGAGCAGCACUACUAUUUUUUAUCAAAGAAGGGCUUCCCCCUUCUGAUUUUCAUUACUGAAAACCCACUGUAGAACCAAAGUAUUCAAACCUAACACUAACAAAUUCCAAAGCAACGCAGCAUAAAACCACAUACCCAAAAGCCAUCAAGGCCUACAGUCUACCUGCCCCAUCAUCCUGGGCUUACAAAGUUCACGAGGGCACCAAACUAACAGCAAAAAACUACUAAAACAUAGCAACAAACGUAAAUGCCACAUCUUCAGCAGGAAGUAGAGUCCAGAGCAGCACUACAGUUCAGUAAUGUGCAUGAUAUGAGAUAGUACACUCAUGCAGCUCAGUAUGCAAAACUACCAGGCAGUUUUCCUUACAAAAAUCAACAUUGUGGACUUUAAUUAUAUAUUUUGCUAUAACUAAGUUUAGAUCAGAUAAAGGUUGGAUUCACGCCGAUUAACAAAAUACAUGCUGAUGUAAAAAUAUAGUGAUAUACAUUAGGUACUUACGUCAGCAUUGGAGCACAGAGAAUUCCCGCCAGAUACUUUCCUCACAAACGAUACCAGUGCAGAAAUUCUUCUAUCUGUUAAGUUUAUUUUCUAAAAGAGAGAAGGGGAGGAAACAUGUAGAAAAUAUGAUCAGCAUGCUAUAAAAUUUCAUGAUGCGAGGAUACGCACAUGCUUCUUAGAAUGGAGUUGACAUAUUUUUGCUAGACUAGAGAGGACUAGUUCUUUGGCCAUCGGAAUGUGCUUAUUAUCAGUAGGAGUUGGGUUUCUCUAUGUUGGAGCAGCAUCUAUGAAAACUGGAGUUGGUUUACUAUCCCAUGGCGUUUGGAUCUUUUGCAAAGACCUUGUUUGUAACCCUUCAGAUUCUAACAUAGCCGUCUUCCCCUUGCAUGCCUUGUAUAGAAGAAUGGUGCUUCAAUUAUAAAACAUGCUACAACAGAGAGAUGGAAUAGGUACUGAAGAAUAGAAAGGCAUGACAUAUUGACAUGUAUUCCCUCCAUCCAGAAAAAAAUGGAUGGGUCUAGGUGUAUUUCAGUUCAAGAUGCAUCCAGUUUUAUCCAUUUCGGCAACAUGUAAUCCGGAUGGAGGGAGUAUGAUGUAAGAGCUAGGGAUGCAAUAGGACGACAGAGUAAAAAACACUAGUUGAAUGUAGAAUUGUAUGCUAGUGGAAUACAUACAGAAAAACACUAAGGCAACAUACGCGUGUAUGAUUGAGAAACUAAGAUGGCAUUGCAACAGACCACUAGAACAUCACUUCAAUGUAAAAUAACAUGGUAUGGUAGACAGAUGAAGUACAUACUGAUGAAUAACAAUGCAUAAGAUAUUCAGAAGCAUGAUGUCCAAACUAAGCAGAUGGCAUUGCGAUAGAGUAGAAUAACAAUACUUGAAUUUGAAAACAUGUUAUCAUGAAUGGAAUAGGCACUGAAAACAGGAAGGCAUGACAUAUUUACAUGCAUGAUCAGCAGGCUAAGCACAUGGCAUUGCAAUAGAGUAGAUACACUCCAGGACAUUAUAUGCAUGUUGUACCCAUAUCACGGGCCAAGUUAGAGCAAGGACCUUGUGGGGUGAAGAGGAUUCAUCAUCUUUCUACAAGUCUUCUGAAGAACUGCCUUUACAUGUUCCAUCAUAUUGGGUAUCAUUGACAUCAAGUCUGUGGGCCGUUACAUUGCUCCCUGAGGUUAUUGUGGAUAUAUCGGUGUGUGCAAUUAUAUCUGACAUGCAUGGAAGACAUCUAAUAGUUAUAUUUAUGUAAUGAGUGCUUGUAGGAGACGACAUAAAUAGUAGGACUGGGUUAACUAGCAGCAACAGGUCUCAAAAAUUAAAGGGAGAACACAGAUGAAAGCUACAGAAUAUGUAUCGUUUGUCCUCAAGAUUAACUAGAUGGCACACAAAAGUAUUAAAGAACAACAUAGGUAAUACUAGAAGUGGUAUAAUACUAUAAUCACCAGCCUGUGAGAUAGCAUUAGCUAAUCGAUGAUAACUAUGGAACAGUGUUACCUAAAGAACAAAUCUCUUAGCUGAAAUAUGGAACAAUGUUAACUCCUAAACAAGACCCGUAAGAGAUCAGCAUGAAUAUAUAGUGAAAUGUGAUAAUCUGUUUUCCAUGCUUAGAUGAAUAACAAAGCCAUAAAUGUUGCACACAAGUAAGAUGAGGAUACAACCUAUCUGGCCGCCAUCCACAGGAGUGAGCAUCAUGUGCUGACUUGUUGAUGGCCCUGCAGUUGGUGUGGCUGUCCAUGUCGGGCACGCGCAUUUGAUGCAGGGAACUAUUGAGUGGGGACUAUAGCUCCCUUCUGGUGUAUGCUUGCCUUGUUGGAGCAGCUUCAGUGAGUCGGAAGACGGUGUGGCUGAAGAUGCAAAAAACGCAUAAUGUUAAGAACGACACAUAUCUCUGAUCUGAAGAAAUACCCUAAGAGAUCAACAGUAAGGUAUGAGAGUGGUCACACGUCUGUUGACUGAAGACUAAAUUGGGGUCACAUAAUUUUAUUUUAUUUUGGUAUUGUCCGAUCUACGCUGGAUGGCUUGAUGGCCGUCUUGUGCCUCCCGGCUGACACUGUUCAGAAUCUUCCCCGAAGAGCUACCGACCAAUGGCAGAGCAGCCUGCCUCCGCCAUUCGUGGCCGCAAGAGCUCCGACCAAAAUCCCGCUCCCCGCCCCACCGCACUAAAGUGGUUGCGCCACCCCCGGCCAAUCCACGAAGACUCGCCGUCAUCCAGAUCCGGCGGCGGCAGUACCUUCAACCCACGCAACUCUAAGAUAGCCAUGUAAGCGCUGCGUCCACGGUGAACUUGCGCCCCCGCACCCUUACGUUAGACACUAGCCAACCGGCAGCCUAGGAGCUCCGCCACCUCAAGGGGUGCUGCUUCCCAUUGGGAAUCGAUUGGCCCAGAAUAAAAACUCAGACAACUAAUGCCAAAAUAAAGUGAUUUGAGAUGAGUGUAUGACCUAUCUUGCAGCCUGGUGAAGUAGGCAACUCUAGCUGACGAGUCGGUGAGGCCGGCGCGGUUGCGGUGGCUACCGGCAGCAGUAAAGCAAAGAUGUCAUGACGGUCGACGGCUACGGGGAAGCAGCACCGGAACCCUGUUGGACGCUACCAACAUUGGAGCCGCUCCGGCACCAUGCACAACGGCGGGAGUGAAUUGGCUCCGGUACGGUUCACGCGGCCGUCGUCGACGUAGCUCCGGCACCAUGGAGUAAGAGGCACACGACCCAGUGCACGACGGCAAACGGACAUCGUCUUCGGCAUUGGGGAGGAGGGCGGCGGUGAAUUUGGUGCGGUGUGGGGCGCCAUGGAGGAGGGGCUGAGGUUUCUCGGCUCGGGAGAAGGUGAUUUGGCGCCCACGGGGUAUGAAUGGGAAAUUGGGAGGGGGAAUGAUAUGUCUCCAACGUAUCUAUAAUGUUUGAUUGUUCCAUGCUAUUAUAUUAUCUAUUUUUGAUGCUUAAUAGGCAUUUUAUGCUAUUUUAUAUUAUUUUUGGGACUAACCUAUUAACCGAGGGCCCAGUGCCAGUUUAUGUUUUUUUUUCCUAUUUUAGAGUUUCGCAGAAAAGGAAUAUCAAACGGAGUCCAAACAGAAUGAAACCUUCGCGAUGAUCUUUCUUGGACCGACAGCAAACCAGAAGACUUGGAGGUGAAGUCAGAGAUGUAACGAGGCGGCCACGAGGCAGGAGGGCGCGUUUAGAGGGGUAGGGCGCGCCCCCUACCUCGUGGGCCCCUCGUAGCUCCCCUGACCUAGUUCCUUCGCCUAUAUAUACUCUUAUACCCUGAAAACAUCCAGGAGAGCCACGAAACCACUUUUCCACCGCCACAACCUUCUGUACCCGUGAGAUCCCAUCUAGGGACCUUUUCUGGCAUCCUGCCGGAGGGGGAUUCGAUCAUGGAGGGCUUCUACAUCAACACCAUUACCUCUCUGAUGAAGCGUGAGUAGUUUACCACAGACCUUUGGGCCCAUAGUUAUUAGCUAGAUGGCUUCUUAUCUCUCUUUGAUUCUCAAUACCAUGUUCUCCUCGAUGUUCUUGGAGAUCUAUUCGAUGUAAUAUUCUUUUGCAGUGUGUUUGCCUAGAUCCGAUGAAUUGUGGAUUUAUGAUCGGAUUAUCUAUGAAUAUUAUUUGGUUCUUCUCUGAAUUCUUAUAUGCAUGAUUUGAUAUCUUUGCAAGUCUCUUCGAAUUAUCGGUUUAGUUUGGCCUACUUGAUUGAUCUUUCUUGCAAUGGGAGAAGUGCUUAGCUUUGGGUUCAAUCUUGCGGUGUCCAUUCCUAGUGACAGUAAGGGCAGCAAGGCACAUAUUGUAUUGUUGCCAUCAAGGAUAAAACGAUGGGGUUUUCAUCAUAUUGCUUGAGUUAAUUCCUUUACAUCAUGUCAUCUUACUUAAUGCGCAACUCCGUUCUUUAUGAACUUAAUACUCUAGAUGCAUGCUGGAUAGCGGUCGAUGUGUGGAGUAAUAGUAGUAGAUGCAGAAUUGUUCCGGUCUACUUGACACGGACGUGAUGCCUAUGUUCAUGAUCAUUGCCUUAGAUAACAUCAUAACUAUGCGCUCUUCUAUCAAUUGCUCGGCAGUAAUUUGUUCACCUACCGUAAUAUUUGCUAUCUUGAGAGAAGCCACUAGUGAAACCUAUGGCCCCCGGGUCUCUUUUCCAUAUUAUUUAAUCUCGUUUACAUCUUGCUAGUUUCCGAUCUACUAUUUUGCAAUCUUUUACUUUCCAAUCUGUAAAGCAAAAAUACCAAAAAUAUUUACUUUACCAUUUAUCUAUCUCUAUCAGAUCUCACUUUUGCAAGUGACCGUGAAGGGAUUGACAACCCCUUUAUAGCGUUGGGUGCAAGUUGUUGAUUGUUUGUGCAGGUAUUCGGUGACUUGUGUGUUGUCUCCUAUUGUAUUGAUACCUUGGUUCUCAAAACUGAGUGAAAUACUUACGCUACUUUGCUGCAUCACCCUUUCCUCUUCAAGGGAAAACCAACGCAAGCUCAAGAGGUAGCAAGAAGGAUUUCUAGCGCCGUUGCUGGGGAGAUCUACGUUAAGUCAAGCCAUACCAAGUACCCAUCAUAAACUCUUCUCCCUUGCAUUAUAUUAUUCGCAAUUCGCCUCUCGUUUUCUUCUCCCCCACUUCUAAAACGAUUUUCUAAAACCUUUGCAUUUUCUUCGCCCCCUCUCUUGUUCGUCUCUUUUUGCUUGCUUCUUGUGUGCUGGUGUGUUGGAUUGAUUGCUUUGUCACGAUGGCUCAAGAUAAUACUAAAUUGUGUUACUUUUCCAAUACCAACAACAAUGAUUUUAUUAGCACUCCAAUUGCUCCCACUACUAAUGCUGAAUCUUGUGAAAUUAAUGUCACUUUGUUGAAUCUUGUUAUGAAAGAUCAAUCUUCUGGCCUUCCUAGUGAAGAUGUCGCAUCCCAUCUAAACAAUUUUUUUGAUUUGUGCGAUAUGCAAAACAAGAAAGAUGUGGAUAAUGAUAUUGUUAAAUUGAAGCUAUUUCCAUUUUCGCUUAGAGAUCAUGCUAAAACUUGGUUUUCAUCUUUUCCCAAAAUAGUAUUGAUUCAUGAAAUAAGUGUAAAGAUGCUUUCAUCUCUAAGUAUUUUCCUCCCGCUAGGAUCAUCUCCCUUAGGAAUGAUAUUAUGAAUUUUAAGCAACUUGAUCAUGAGCAUGUUGCACAAUCUUGGGAGAGGUUGAAAUUGAUGAUACGUAAUUGCCCUACACAUGGUUUGAAUUUAUGGAUGAUUAUACAAAAAAAAUAUGUUGGAUUGAAUUUUGCUUCUAGAAAUCUUUUAGACUCGACUGCGGGAGGCACUUUUAUGGAAAUCACUUUAGGAGAGGCUACUAAGCUCCUAGAUAAUAGUAUGGUUAAUUAUUCUCAAUGGCACACUGAAAGAUCCACUAGUAAAAAGGUUCAUGUGAUUGAAGAGAUUAAUGUUUUGAGUGGAAAGAAAGAUGAACUUAUGAAAUUAUUUGCUAAUAAAAGUGUUUCUUCUGAUCCUAAUGAUAUUCCUUUGUCCACUUUGAUUGAUAAUAAUAAUGAAUCUAUGGAUGUGAAUUUUGUUGGUAGGAACAAUUUUGGUAACAACGCAUAUAGAGACAAUUUUAAUCAUAGGCCAUUUCCUAGUAAUUCCUCUAAUAAUUAUGGUAAUUCCUGCAGCAACUCUUAUGGAAAUUUUAAUAAGAUGCCCUCUGAUUUUGAGAAUAGUGUUAAAGAAUUUAUGAGUUUGCAAAAGAAUUUCAAUGCUUUGAUUGAAGAAAAUUUUCUCAAGAUUGAUGAUUUAGCUAGGAACGUGGAUAUAAUUUCUCUUGAUGUUGAUUCUUUGAAACUUAGAUCUAUCCCACCUAAGCAUGAUAUUAAUGAGUCUCUCAAAUCCAUGAGAAUUUCCGUUGAUGAGUGCAAAGAAAGAACCGCUAAGAUGCGUGCUAAAAAAGAUUGGUUUGUAAAAGCGUGUUCUUCUAGUUUUCAUGAUAAUAAUGAUGAAGAUCUAAAAGUUAUUGAUGUGACUCCUAUUAAAUCUUUGUUUUCCAAUAUGAAUUUUUAUAAAGGUGGGACUGGAGAUGAGUCAACUUUAGUUAAAAGGCUUCCCAAUGAUUCAGAGUUUUUAAAUCUAGAUGCAAAAAUUGAUAAAAGUGGGAUGGAGACUGGGAUUUGUCACUCUGUAUGAUGGAGAGGUAUCUCUGGGCCCACUCGAUAAUGCAUCAUCAUAAUGAGCUCAAAGUGACCAAGUGUCUGGUCACGGGAUCAUGCAUUAUGGUACGAGUAAAGUGACUUGCCGGUAAUGAGAUUGAACGAGGUAUUGGGAUACCGAUGAUCGAAUCUCGGGCAAGUAACAUACCGAUUGACAAAAGGAAAUUGUAUACGGGGUUGCUUGAAUCCUCGACAUCGUGGUUCAUCUGAUGAGAUCAUCGAGGAGCAUGUGGGAGCCAACAUGGGUAUCCAGAUCCCGCUGUUGGUUAUUGACCGGAGAGCCGUCUCGGUCAUGUCUAUGUGUCUCCCGAACCCGUAGAGUCUACACACUUAAGGUUCGGUGACGCUAGGGUUGUAGAGAUAUUAGUAUGCAGCAAACCGAAAGUUGUUCGGAGUCCCGGAUGAGAUCCGGACGUCAUGAGGAGUUCCGGAAUGGUCCGGAGAUAAAUAAUUAUAUAUGGGAAGUCGAGUUUGGGUCAUCGGGAAAGUUUCGGGGGUCACCGGUAUUGUAUCGGGACCACCGAAAGGGUCUCAGGGGUCCACCCAGUGGGGCCACCCAUCCCAGAGGGCCCCAUGGGCUGAAGUGGGAGGGGAACCAAUCCCUGGUGGGCUGGUGCGCCCCCCCUUGCCCCCCCUGCGCCUAGGGUUGGGAACCCUAGGGGAGGGGGCGCCUCCACUUGCCUUGGGGGGCAAGGCACCCCCUUGGCCGCCGCCCCCCUAGGAGAUCCCAUCUCCUAGGGCCGGCGCCCCCCUGGGGACCCUAUAUAUAGAGGGAGGAGGGAGGGAAGCCGCACCUUUGCACUUGGCGCCUCCCUUCCCCCUUGCUACACCUCUCCCUCCCGCAGACGCUUGGUGAAGCCCUGCCGGGAUCCCUGCUGCAUCCAGCACCACGCCGUCGUGCUGCUUGAUCUUCAUCAACCUCUCCUUCCCCCUUGCUGGAUCAAGAAGGAGGAGACGUCUCCCUGACCGUACGUGUGUUGAACGCGGAGGUGCCCUCCGUUCUGCGCUAAGGAUCUCCGGUGAUUUGGAUCAUGACGAGUACGACUCCCUCAACCCCGUUCUCUUGAACGCUUCCGCUCGAUCUAUAAGGGUAUGUAGAUGCACUCCUCUCUCUCGUUGCUAGAUGAACUCAUAGAUUGAUCUUGGUGAAACCGUAGGAAAUUUUUUAUUUUCUGCAACGUUCCCCAACAGUGGCAUCAUGAGCUAGGUCUAUGCAUAGUUCUCUUUGCACGAGUAGAACACAAAUCUGUGUGGGCGUAGAUGUUGUCAACUUUCUUUCCACUACUAGUCUUAUUUUGCUUCAGCGGUAUUGUGGGAUGAAGCGGCCCGGACCGACCUUACACGUACGCUUACGUGAGACAGGUUCCACCGACUGAUAUGCAUUAGUUGCAUAAGGUGGCUAGCGGGUGUCUGCCUCUCCCACUUUAGUCGGAGCGGAUUCGAUGAAAAGGGUCCUUAUGAAGGGUAAAUAGAAGUUGACAAAUCACGUUGUGGCUUUUUCGUAGGUAAGAAAAUGUUCUUGCUAGAACCCUAUUGCAGCCACGUAAAAGAUGCAACAACAAUUAGAGGACGUCUAACUUGUUUUUGCAGCAAUUGCUUUGUGAUGUGAUAUGGCCAAAAGUUGUGAUGAAUGAUGAAUGAUAUAUUGUGAUGUAUGAGAUCAUGUUCUUGUAAUAGGAAUCACGACUUGCAUGUCGAUGAGUAUGACAACCGGCAGGAGCCAUAGGAGUUGUCCUAAUUAUUGUAUGACCUGCGUGUCAAUGAUUUAACGCCAUGUAAUUACUUUACUUUAUUGCUAAACCGUUAGCCAUAGUAGUAGAAGUAAUAGUUGGCGAGCAACUUCAUGGAGACACGAUGAUGGAGAUCAUGAUGAUGGAGAUCAUGGUGUCAUGCCGGUGACAAAGAUGAUCAUGGUGCCCCGAAGAUGGAGAUCAAAGGAGCUAUAUGAUAUUGGCCAUAUCAUGUCACUACUAUUUGAUUGCAUGUGAUGUUUAUCAUGUUUUUGCAUCUUGUUUACUUAGAACGACGGUAGUAAAUAAGAUGAUCCCUCAUAAUAAUUUCAAGAAAGUGUUCUCCCUAACUGUGCGCCGUUGCGACAGUUCGUUGUUUCGAAGCACCACGUGAUGAUCGGGUGUGAUAGAUUCUAACAUUCACAUACAACGGGUGUAAGACAGAUUUACACAUGCAAAACACUUAGGUUAACUUGACGAGCCUAGCAUGUACAGACAUGGCCUCGGAACAUAAGAGACCGAAAGGUCAAACAUGAGUCGUAUGGAAGAUACGAUCAACAUGGAGAUGUUCACCGAUAAUGACUAGUCCGUCUCACGUGAUGAUCGGACACGGCCUAGUUGACUCGGAUCAUGUAACACUUAGAUGAGUAGAGGGAUGUCUAAUCUGAGUGGGAGUUCAUUAAAUAAUUUGAUUAGAUGAACUUAAUUAUCAUGAACUUAGUCUAAAAUCUUUGCAAAAAUGUCUUGUAGAUCUAAUGUCCAAUGCUCAUGUCAACAUGAACUUUAACGCGUUCCUAGAGAAAACCAAGCUGAAAGAUGAUGGCAGCAACUAUACGGACUGGGUCCGGAACCUGAGGAUCAUCCUCAUAGCUGCCAAGAAAGCAUAUGUCCUAGAAGGACCGCUAGGUGAAGCACCCAUCCCAGAGAACCAAGACGUUAUGAACGCAUGGCAGUCACGUGCUGAUGAUUACUCCCUCGUUCAGUGCGGCAUGCUUUACAACUUAGAACCGGGGCUCCAAAAGCGUUUUGAGCAACACGGAGCAUAUGAGAUGUUCGAGGAGCUGAAAAUGGUUUUCCAAGCUCAUGCCCAGGUCGAGAGAUAUGAAGUCUCCAACAAGUUCUAUAGUUGUAAGAUGGAGGAAAAUAGUUCUGUCAGUGAGCACAUACUCAAAAUGUUUGGGUUGCACAACCGCCUGUCCCAGCUGGAUAUUAACCUCCCGGACGAGGCGGUCAUUGACAGAAUCCUUCAGUCGCUCCCACCGAGCUACAAGAGUUUUGUGAUGAACUACAAUAUGCAGGGGAUGGUGAAAACUAUUCCUGAAGUAUUUUCAAUGCUGAAGUCAGCAGAGGUAGAAAUCAAAAAGGAACAUCAAGUGUUGAUGGUCAAUAAAACCACUAAGUUCAAGAAAGGCAAGGGUAAGAAGAACUUCAAGAAGGACGACAAGGAUGUUGCCGCGCCCGGUAAGCCAGUUGUCGGGAAGAAGUCAAAGAAUGGACUCAAGCCUGAGACUGAGUGCUUUUAUUGCAAAGGAAAGGGUCACUGGAAGCGGAACUGCCCCAAAUACUUAGCGGACAAGAAGGCCGGCAACACUAAAGGUAUAUGUGAUAUACAUGUAAUUGAUGUGUACCUUACCAGUACUCGUAGUAGCUCCUGGGUAUUUGAUACCGGUGCGGUUGCUCAUAUUUGUAACUCAAAGCAGGAACUGCGGAAUAAACGGAGACUGGCGAAGGACGAGGUGAUGAUGCGCGUCGGGAAUGGUUCCAAGGUCGAUGUGAUUGCCGUCGGCACGCUACCUCUACAUUUACCUACGGGAUUAGUUUUAAACCUCAAUAAUUGUUAUUUAGUGCCAAGUUUGAGCAUGAACAUUGUAUCUGGAUCUCGUUUAAUACGAGAUGGCUACUCAUUUAAAUCCGAGAAUAAUGGUUGUUCUAUUUAUAUGAGAGAUAUGUUUUAUGGUCAUGCCCCGAUGGUCAAUGGUUUAUUCUUAAUGAAUCUCAAACGUGAUGUUACACAUAUUCAUAGUGUGAAUACCAAAAGAUGUAAGGUUGAUAACGAUAGUCCCACAUACUUUUGGCACUGCCGCCUUGGUCACAUUGGUGUCAAGCGCAUGAAGAAGCUCCAUGCUGAUGGACUUUUAGAGUCUCUCGAUUAUGAAUCAUUUGACACAUGCGAACCAUGCCUUGUGGGCAAAAUGACCAAGACUCCGUUCUCUGGAACUAUGGAUCGAGCAACCAACUUAUUGGAAAUCAUACAUACUGAUGAGUGCGGUCCAAUGAGCGUUGAGGCUCGCGGAGGAUAGGAUAUCGUUAUGUUCUCACUCUCACUAAUGACUUAAGUAGAUAUGGGUAUGUCUAAUUGAUGAAACACAAGUCUGAGACCUUUGAAAAGUUCAAGGAAUUUCAGAAUGAGGUAGAGAAUCAACGUGACCGAAAGAUAAAGUUCUUAUGAUCAGAUCGUGGAGGAGAAUAUAUAAGUCAUGAAUUUGGUACACACUUAAAUAAAUGUGGAAUCGUUUCACAACUCACGCCGCCUGGAACACCUCAGCGUAACGGUGUGUCCGAACGUCGUAAUCGCACUCUAUUGGAUAUGGUGCGAUCUAUGAUGUCUCUUACCGAUUUACCGCUAUCAUUUUGUGGGUACGCUCUAGAGACAGCUACAUUCACUUUAAAUAGGGCUCCGUCUAAAUCCGUUGAGACGACACCGUAUGAAUUAUGGUUUGGGAAGAAACCUAAGCUGCCGUUUCUAAAAGUUUGGGGAUGCGAUGCUUAUGUCAAGAAACUUCAACCUGAAAAGCUCGAACCCAAGUCAAAAAAAUGCGUCUUCAUAGGAUACCCUAAGGAAACCAUUGGGUAUACCUUCUACCUUAGAUCCGAAGGCAAGAUCUUUGUUGCUAAGAACGAAUCCUUUCUGGAAAAAGAGUUUCUCUCGAAAGGAGUAAGUGGGAGGAAAGUAGAACUCGAUGAAGUACUACCUCUUGAACCGGAAAGUAGUGCAGCUCAGGAAAAUGUUCCCGUGGUGCCUACACCGACUGGAGAGGAAAUUAAUGAUGAUGAUCAAGGUACUUCGGAUCAAGUUGCUACUGAACUUCGUAGGUCCACAAGGACACGUUCCACACCAGAGUGGUAUGGCAACCCUGUCCUGGAAAUCAUGUUGUUAGACAACGGUGAACCUUCGAACUAUGAAGAAGCGAUGGCGAGCCCAGAUUCCAACAAAUGGCUUGAAGCCAUGCAAUCCGAGAUAGAAUCCAUGUAUGAAAACAAAGUAUGGACUUUGACAGACUUGACCGGUGAUCGGCGAGUGAUAGAAAACAAAUGGAUCUUUAAGAAGAAGACGGAUGCGGAUGGUAAUGUUACCAUCUAUAAAGCUCGACUUGUUGCUAAGGGUUAUUGACAGGUUCAAGGGGUUGACUACGAUGAGACAUUCUCUCCCGUAGCGAAGCUGAAGUCCGUCCAAAUCAUGUUAGCAAUUGCCGCAUACUAUGAUUAUGAGAUAUGGCAGAUGGAUGUCAAAACGACAUUCCUUAACGGCUAUCUUAAGGAAGAACUGUAUAUGAUGCAGCCGGAAGGUUUUGUCGAUGCUAAGAAUGCUAACAAGGUAUACAAGCUCCAGCGAUCCAUUUAUGGGCUGGUGCAAGCAUCUCGGAGUUGGAACAUUCGCUUUGAUGAGAUGAUCAAAGCUUUUGGGUUUAUGUAGACUUAUGGAGAAGCCUGCGUUUACAAGAAAGUGAGUGGGAGCUCUGUAGCAUUUCUCAUAUUAUAUGUAGAUGACAUACUUUUGAUGGGAAAUGAUAUAGAACUUUUGGACAACAUUAAGGCCUACUUGAAUAAGUGUUUUUCAAUGAAGGACCUUGGAGAAGCUGCUUACAUAUUAGGCAUCAAGAUCUAUAGGGAUAGAUCGAGAUGCCUCAUAGGUCUUUCACAAAGCACAUACCUUGAUAAGAUAUUGAAGAAGUUCAAUAUGGAUCAGUCCAAGAAAGGGUUCUUGCCUGUAUUGCAAGGUGUGAGAUUGAGCUCGGCUCAAUGCCCGACCACGACAAAAGAUAAAGAAGAGAUGAGUGUCAUCCCAUAUGCCUCAGCCAUAGGAUCUAUUAUGUAUGCCAUGCUGUAUACCAGACCUGAUGUAAACCUUGCCGUAAGUUUGGUAGGAAGGUACCAAAGUAAUCCCGGCAAGGAACACUGGACAGCGGUCAAGAAUAUCCUGAAGUACCUGAAAAGGACAAAGGACAUGUUUCUCGUUUAUGGAGGUGACGAAGAGCUCGUCGUAAAUGGUUACGUUGAUGCUAGCUUCGACACAGAUCUGGAUGACUCUAAGUCACAAACCGGAUGCAUGUAUAUGUUGAAUCGUGGAGCAGUAAGCUGGUGCAGUUGCAAGCAGAGCGUCGUGGCGGGAUCUACAUGUGAAGUGGAGUACAUGGCAGCCUCGGAGGCAGCGCAUGAAGCAAUAUAGAUGAAGGAGUUCAUCACCGACCUAGGAGUCAUACCCAAUGCGUCGGGGCCGAUCACUCUCUUCUGUGACAACACUGGAGCUAUUGCCCUUGCCAAGGAGCCCAGGUUUCACAAGAAGACCAGGCACAUCAAGCAUCGUUUCAACUCCAUCCGUGAAAAUGUUCAAGAUGGAGACAUAGAUAUUUGCAAAGUACAUACGGAUCUGGAUGUUGCAGAUCCAUUGACUAAACCUCUUCCGCGAGCAAAACAUGAUCAACAUCAGAACUCUAUGGGUGUUCGAUUCAUCACAAUGUCACUAGAUUAUUGACUCUAGUGCAAGUGGGAGACUGUUGGAAAUAUGCCCUAGAGGCAAUAAUAAAAGGAUUAUUAUUAUAUUUCCUUGUUCAUGAUAAUUGUAUUUUAUUCAUGCUAUAAUUGUGUUAUCUGAAAAUUGUAAUACAUGUGUGAAUACAUAGACCACAAUAUGUCCCUAGUGAGCCUCUAGUUGACUAGCCCGUUGAUCAACAGAUAGUCAUGGUUUCCUGACUAUGGACAUUGGAUGUCAUUGAUAACGGGAUCACAUCAUUAGGAGAAUGAUGUGAUGGACAAGACCCAAUCCUAAGCAUAGCACAAGAUCGUGUAGCUCGUUUGCUAGAGCUUUUACAAUGUCAAGUAUCUUUUCCUUAGACCAUGAGAUCGUGUAACUCCCGGAUACCGUAGGAGUGCUUUGGGUGUACCAAACGUCACAACGUAAUGGGGUGACUAUAAAGGUAUACUAUGGGUAUCUCCGAAAGUGUCUGUUGAGUUGACACGGAUCGAGACUGGGAUUUGUCACUCUGUAUGAUGGAGAGGUAUCUCUGGGCCCACUCGAUAAUGCAUCAUCAUAAUGAGCUCAAAGUGACCAAGUGUCUGGUCACGGGAUCAUGCAUUACGGUACGAGUAAAGUGACUUGCCAGUAAUAAGAUUGAACGAGGUAUUGGGAUACCGACGAUCGAAUCUCGGGCAAGUAACAUACCGAUUGACAAAGGGAAAUUGUAUACGGGGUUGCUUGAAUCCUCGACAUCGUGGUUCAUCCAAUGAGAUCAUCGAGGAGCAUGUGGGAGCCAACAUGGGUAUCCAGAUCCCGCUGUUGGUUAUUGACCAGAGAGCCGUCUCGGUCAUGUCUACAUGUCUCCCGAACCCGUAGGGUCUACACACUUAAGGUUCGGUGACGCUAGGGUUGUAGAGAUAUUAGUAUGAAGCAAACCGAAUGUUGUUCGGAGUCCCGGAUGAGAUCCCGGACGUCACGAGGAGUUCCGGAAUGGUCCGGAGGUAAAGAAUUAUAUAUGGGAAGUAGAGUUUCGGCCAUCGGGAAAGUUUCGGGGUCACCGGUAUUGUACCGGGACCACCGGAAGGGUCCCGGGGGUCCACCGGGUGGGGCCACCCAUUCGAAGGGCCCCAUGGGCUGAAGUGGGAGGGGAACCAGCCCCUGGUGGGCUGGUGCGCCCCCCCUUGGGCCCCCCUUGCAUCUAGGGUUGGGAACCCUAGGGGAGGGGGCGCCUCCACUUGCCUUGGGGGGCAAGGCACCCCCUUGGCCGCCGCCCCCCUAGGAGAUCCCAUCUCCUAGGGCCGGCGCCCCCCCUGGGGACCCUAUAUAUAGAGUGGGGGAGGGAGGGCAUCCGUACCUUUGCACUUGGUGCCUCCCUUCCCCCUUGCUACACCUCUCCCUCCCGCAGACGCUUCGCGAAGCCCUGCCAGGAUCCCUGCUGCAUCCACCACCACGCCGUCGUGCUGCUGGAUCUUCAUCAACCUCUCCUUCCCCCUUGCUGGAUCAAGAAGGAGACGUCUCACUGACCGUACGUGUGUUGAACGCAGAGGUGCCGUCCGUUCGGCGCUAAGGAUCUCCGGUGAUUUGGAUCACGACGAGUACGACUCCCUCAACCUCGUUCUCUUGAACGCUUCCGCUCGAUCUACAAGGGUAUGUAGAUGCACUCCUCUCUCUCGUUGCUAGAUGAACUCAUAGAUUGAUCUUGGUGAAACCGUAGGAAAUAUUUUAUUUUCUGCAACGUUCCCCAACACCGGGUAGGGGUGCGCCGGAGCUCUCCCUGCCGUCGUCCCAUUCUCCAUCAGCACCACGCUCCGCCCUCAUGGUGGGCAACAUGCCGCCUGCUCCGGCUAUCAACGCCUGCGCAGGGACCAGGGGGCUCUGAGCCCUGGACCCCGCCUUGCGGCAGGUGCGGUGGCCGAACAAGUUUAAGCCGGAUGUGCCGCCGUGCUACGACGGCGCGGCCGAUCCGCUGGCCUUCCUGCUAGCGUAUGAAGAAGCCGUCCUCAAGGCCGAAGGCGAUGACAGGGUCAUGGCUAACUGGGUGCCCAUGGCCCUCACCGGCGCCCCACGCAUGUGGCUGCUCCACCUGCCAGCGGCUUCCGUGGCCUCCUGGGAGGAGUUGUGCAACCUCUUCCUCACCCAUCAUGCUGCGCUAGCACCCCCAGUCGUCGCAGCCCUCCUGGGUGGGUCGCAGGCACCACCUUCGGGCCACCACGUCAAGUCGUUCGUCCGCCAGAUCGGCGCCAUCCUCAAGCGCCGUGAAGCCCACCGGGGCUAGGUGGCACCCAAGGCUGAUUUGACCUUCAGCUCGGACGAUCACCCCUCCAACACCGCCUGUUCGGGCGCACUCCCGAUGCUGUGCACCCCCACCAUCUGCCAGGUGGCCGUCACCAGGACCCUCAUCGACGGUGGUGCCGGCCUCAAUGUGCUCUCGGUGGAGGCCUUCAGCCUCCUCCACAUUUCACUGAAGUGGCUCCAACCCAACCGACCCUUCUCGGGUGUUGGAGGCAGUUCCACCGGCUCCCUGGGGCAGAUCUGCCUCCCGGUGACCUUCGGCACCCAUGACAACUUGCGCAUGGAGCUGGUCGACUUUGACAUCGCCCCCAUCGGCCUCCCGUACAACGCCAUCCUCGGCUACCCAGCCUUGGCCCAGUUCAUGGCAGCGACCCACCCGGCUUACAACCUCAUGAAGAUGCUCGGGAGCAGCGGCGUCCUUACCGUGUCUGGGGACACAAGGGAUGUGCUGCAGGCGCUCAAGCUCGCUUUCAAGGCAGCCGCGGUAGCGCACCCCUCCAGCGCAGAUACCCUCGAGCCCAAGGGGGCUGCGCCGGCCAAGAAGAAGCAGUUAUUCACCCAAGACAAGGCGGAGACCAAGCAAGAACCCGUCGACGAGGAUGGAUCCUCUGGCGCCACCUUCACCAUAGGUGCCAACCUCGGUCCUGAGCAGGAGGAGGCCCUGGUGAAGUUCCUGCGUGCAAACAAGGAGGUGUUUGCAUGGGAACCUGAUCAACUAGCAGGGGUCCCAAGGGAUGUGAUUGAACACCAUCUCAACGUAUGCCCCAAUGUGUGCCACGUGAAGCAGAAGGCAAGGCGACAAUCCACCGAGAAGCAGGCCUUCAUCGUCCAAGAAACCCGCAAGUUAGAGGUAGCAUGCGUCAUUCGCGAAGUUCGCUAUCCUGAAUGGCUGGCCAACCCUGUUGUUGUGCCGGAAAAGGGAGGACAGGAACGCAUGUGGGUCGACUUCACCAACCUCAAUAAGGCCUGCCCACAUGAUCCAUUCCCGCUCCCUCACAUCGACCAUAUCAUAGAUUCUACCGCCGAGUGUGACCUGUUGUGCUUCCUGGAUGCCUUCUCGGGCUAUCACCAGAUCAAGAUGGCGGUAGAAGACGUGGAGAAAACGGCCUUCCUGACCCCGUGUGGAGUAUAAUGCUAUACCUGCAUGCCGUUUGGGUUGCGCAACGCGGGCACGACCUUUCAGCAAUUGAUGCACAUCGCCUUGGGCCGGCAGCUCGGGAGGAACACCGAGGCCUACGUCGAUGACAUCGUGGUGAAGUCUCGGGAGGCGAAAACCCUGAUACAGGACCUGGAAGAAACCUUUGCGAGCCUCCAUGAAGUGGAUCUGCGGCUCAACCCGGAUAAGUGCGUAUUCGGAGUCCCCUCGGGCAAGCUCUUGGGCUUCCUCGUGUCCCACUGGGGCAUCGAGGCUAACUCGGAGAAGGUCAAGCCAGUUGAAGACAUGAGUCCGCUGAAGACCCUCAGAGAAAUGCAGAAGCUCACCGGGCGAGUAACCGCGUUGGGACUCUUCAUCUCCAAGCUAGGGGAGCGAGCACUGCUGAUGCGGAGCAUCCUUCCAUCAUCCCCAUGGACACUACUUCGACCACACAAGCUCCAAGUGGACCCAUGACAAGAGCUCGAGCACGUGCCAUCCAAUCCGAGGUUAACUCUCUCCUUGUUGAACUUCCCUUUGACCCAUUUGAGACAUGGCUACUACCUCAAACGGAGACGCUUUGCGUGCUCAGGUACCAUGUAAGCAACCAAGGAAAAGGAAUGGUGUAAGAUGGCCAUCAAGAUCAAGGAGGCAUUCUGCCCAGCCUGGAAGGACCGGUACAACCGCCCAACAACCGCCCGGGCGGAACAACCGACCGACUACCGCCCAACAACCGGCCACCUUUCUGUGAUCAAGCUGUGCAAGGCCGGUACAGCACCGGAUGUACGGGUAAUUCCCAAGAGACCGGUACUACCGGCCCAGCAACCGGUACAACCGCUGGAGCCCCGACGUCCAUCUGCAGAAGCCAGCACCUGACCCUAGUGGUAGUACCGCCUUCCUCGCCCGGUACUUCCGCCCUGCAUGAGUUACCAGCGGUACAACCGCCCCCAUGACUGGUACAACCGGCCUGUCUGCGCGCAGUGUAACGGGCCGAGCCCAUGUACCCCUUCGCCCUCACUUACCCCUUCGUGGCUCUAGACUACAUAUACUCCUCCACCUCCUCCUAGUUAAGGUAGCAUUGGUUUAGCUCAUAUUUGUGUGAGAGCCUUGCUCACGACCUCUUCGGAGAAGAUCCCCCAAGCGGAUUCAAGACCCCUUUCUAGGGAAGACCAUCAAGACCUCCGUACGGAUAAGAACGUGGUUCCUUUGUAUCCUUACCUUUGUUGAUUGUGGAUCAUAUGUUACUCUUUGUUGUCGGUGAUCUAGCACUCGUGUGAUUGAUUCCUUGUCGGUUUAGUGAUUCCCUCUCUCGUUUUCCCCGUGUUUCCCCUUUGUGCUUCUGUGUGUUCUUCGUGAUUCCCUGUAGGAUCCACUCCAAACGUGAAAGAUCGUCACCAUAGGGUUCCGCCCUACAUCAUCUUGGUAUCAUGAACCACGUUGAUCAUGUUUUUGGAGCCCCUACCCCGUGUUUUCUAGCUUGAUUUUGUUGUUUUCGUCCUAAAUCCGAAAAUCCCCACCAAAAAUAGCCCCAAUUUUUUUGUGAUUUGUUGGUUUGAUGAUGUUUUGUUGAUUUUGAUCUGUGGAUUUGCUUGGUUUCAAGUGGAUCAAGCUUUCCCCCAAGUUUCCCCACUUCCCAUCCACAAAAUCUCUCCAAUUUUGCCCCCGAAAUCAUCAAUUUCCGCCCCAAAAUCGCGCCCCGAUUCGAUAUGAGAAGAAUCCCGUCUCGAUCGGUACUACCGCCCAUCCAAGCGGUACUACCGCUGAGUACCACAAGCGGUACUACCGCCCAUCCGAGCGGUACUACCGCCCAUGCCAGUUUCAGCAUUCCCAGUUUCACCAUUUUUACCAUAACUUCCACUCCGGAGUCCGAUUUUCGCGUUCUUUAGCUCGUUGAGAAGCUAUUGACAUCCCCAUCCAUAUAGAUACACUACAACAUCAUUGGACACCAUCUAAUUUUCCGAACAUGGGCAUCUUUGCCUAGGGCUUUCACCACAUCAUACGCUAUACCACCUCCGCUUUCCGCUACCACCAUUGUUGCUUUUGGUCUUUGAGAAUUUGAGUUGUGGUUCCCGUGUCCUAUUGUGUUUCGGCUAUAUAGGUACGGUUCAACGUCAACAUCACCACCGCUCAUCUUCGCCAAGGACUCAUCAUCGCCAAGGAUGGUAACCUCGACGACAUCUUUGUCAUCUCUCGCAAUUGCAUUGAUAACCAUCAUAGCCCAUCUUUUGCGUUGCUUACCCAUCGAGACUAGCCAUUGAUUAUUGCCGGCAACGUGACUUGUGCACAUUAGUGAUCAUACUCCAUAGCAUACAUACCAUACCAAAGUGGUGCAUAUCUUGGCAUCAACUUGGGUGUCACAAAGUUGUCAUCGCAUACACAAUUGCUAUCUUGGUUCGUGAAGUUUUGCAUGCGAAAAGAACUCAAAAGUGAAAGAGCCACCCAAGCUUUUAAGCAAAGAGGAAAUAUAAGCAAAGAGCUUAUAAGAAAGAACCAUAGCAUCAUACUACAUUAAGAUUGUCAUAUAAGAUCAUCUUGGAUCAUAGCACCGAAAUACCAAACUUGUAGCAUACUUGGGAUAGAGAUCGUUGCAUUUUUGCCUAGUAGGUUGUGCACAAGCUACGUAUCCGCCUAUUGUGCAAUCGUGCUAGCGUCUCUCCAGUAUUGUGCAACAAGAGCAUUUUCGUGGAUUCCACAUUUUGGCUCACUUUUGGUUUGCACAAUCCCACUUAUCUAUUUGCGUGUGUGUUUCCGUGUACCACUACUUGCUUGGUCUACUUGUUACAUUUGCGAAUUUGCGAAUCUUUUUCAACAUCUUUGAGUCAAACUAACGAUUGCAAUCAAUUUUGUGCCACCAUCCUAACCAAGCUCCACCAUAAGCUUUUACUUGUGUAGGUGUGAGAACCGACUAGAAUUGGUACCAAAAGUGCUAUUUCAUUGUCCGCAUUUGAGUGAACUUGAUUCAUCUUCAACUUCGGUCAAGGUACAUUUGGUGCACGUUCUUUUCCGUCUACCACUUACAUUUUGCUUGGAAUGAUGGAUAGGCCAAGUUCUUCUACCAAUCCACCCCUCAUCGAGAACGGCGACGACAUGUCAUCAUUCGUCACAAAGAGCCACCUUUUUGGUGCUCAAAGGGAAUUACACCAAGAACAACAAGCAAUGAGCGACCGCAUCGACAACCUCGCCACCGACUUGCGACUCUCCGAGCAACGUACAAGAGACUACUUCGACAACAAGUUCGACUCUCACAAACAAGAGAAUGAUGCAAGAAUGGACGAGAUCCGCGCCUUGAUGAGGAACCGACAUCCUUCCACUUCUUCAUCCUCAAGAUGGAGCCGCUCGAGUCGACACUCCGACGACACCUUCUCCGACUCAAGUACACCGUCAUCGAACACUCUUCGACGAGCCGCGUGUCAAGACCAUCAUGCAUCUCGCAACCCGCUACAUGACAAGCAUUCACAAGAGCAAGUCGAUGAGCAAGUCCCUCGUCCUCAAUCAAACCAAGUCGCUUUUGCUCAAGCUCAAGAACGGCAACGACUACGGCGCCAAGAGGAAGAACGAGCGCGUCUACACCAAGAGGAACAAGACGCCGAGGCUCAACGUCUUCAACAACAACAACGAGAAGCACAAGCUCUUGAGGCGCAAUGUGCCCUUCAAGAAUCAAGUCGAGCCAUCGCCAACCGCAAUCGCGAACGACGCAAUCAAGAGGAAGCUCUUCGAGAAGAAAUCCAAGAGAGGAACUACCAACCACGUGUGCAACGUCAAGUUCCUCAAGCUCCUCCACAAGCUCGUCAAGCUCCACCUCAACAUCAAGUUCAACAAGAGCAAGUUGAUCAUGGACUUCCUCCGCGCCAAGAGAAACAAGAGGAUGAUUACCCUCCACAUCAAGGGCGUAAUCAUUACCAUCGCCAACAACACAAUGAAGAGCAAUGCUAUGGCAAGCUCAAGUUCAUAAUGCCCAAGUUCAAUGGAAGCAAUGAUCCGGAAGAGUACCUCUCAUGGGCAUUGAAGGUCGACAAGAUCUUUCGUUUGCACAACUAUGAGGAAGAAAAGAAGAUCGCUAUGGCAUCACUUGAGUUCCAAGACUAUGUGCUCAUAUGGUGGGAACAAGUCAUUGAGCGCCGACAAGCAAGAGGUGAACCUCCAAUCACCACUUGGGCUCAAAUGAAGGAUGUCAUGCGAGCACGUUUUGUGCCCACCUACUACAACCGAGAUCUCUUCAAGAAGCUACAACUCCUCAAGCAAGGAACAAAGAGUGUUGAAGAAUACUACAAGGAAAUGGAGAUAGCCAUGAUUCGAGCCAAUGUCACAGAAGAUGGUGAGCAAACUAUGGCACAUUUCUUGAAUGGACUCAAUCAUCCCAUCAAGAAGAUUGCCGACUUCCAACCAUACUCCAACCUCAUUGAGCUCGUACAUCAAGCUACCAAGGCCGGACGUCAAGUGCAAGAUGACUUCAAGUACGCCAAGUACUCAUCCAAGACCUAUGAUUUCUCCAACAACCAAGCUUCAACGACUCCUCCAACAUCUACAUCAACCAAGCCUUCUCCAAGCAACGGUGACAAGUCAAGUUACAAGAAAACUUCGGCAAGUUCAAGUCGUCUUCCUCCUACUACAAGCAACUUCAAGUCGCGUGCUUCAUCAUCUACUCCGACCAAUGAGACCGUCAAAACAAGCUCCUUCAAGUGUUUCCCUUGCAGCGGCCGAGGCCACAAGUCCUAUCAAUGCAUGAACAAGCGCACCAUGAUCCUCAACGACGAUGGUACAUACGACUCCAUGAGUGAAGAGGAGAUGGAAGAUCUUGAGCAAGUGGCCAUGCACCGGCGCGUGAAUGAGGAUGAAGAUGAUCAAGUCUUUUGUGAUGAGGAUUCGAGCCCCGCUCUUGUUGUCUCCAAAGUCUUGACACUUCAACAUCAACAAGAAGAAUACCAACGAUGCCACAUCUUCCACACUAAGGCCGGCAUCAAUGGAAGGUCCGUCAAGGUCAUCAUCGAUGGAGGUAGUUCCCACAACUUGGCAAGUGAAGAACUAUGCUCCAAGCUUCAAUUGGUCAAGAGUAAGCACCCGCACCCCUACAAGGUUCAAUGGCUAAGUGACUCCGGCACUAUUCGAGUCAAGCAUACGGUCCAAGUCUCCUUCAAAAUUGGUGCAUACGAGGACACUUUGGAGUGUGAUGUGGUCCCAAUGACCGUUUGCCACCUCCUUCUUGGUCAACCAUGGCAAUUCGACCGUGGUGUCAUCCACAAUGGGCACACCAAUCAAUAUAGCUUCAAGAUGAAAGGGAAGGAAUAUGUGUUACAACCUAUGUCUCCUAGUCAAGUGAUAGCCGACAAGCAAGCCACCCAUCUUGGAGAGAAGAGUGAGAAAGUGAUCCACCCAAAAGUGAGUGAGAGCCACAAGCCAAACUUGAGCGCCUCUUCACCUAGAGAGAAAAACCCCAUCCUAUUUGCCACUAAAAGUGAGAUGAGAGAAGUGUAUGAGAACCCAUCAAGUGUGAUGCACUUUGUACUUGUGUGCAAGGAUGGAGAGCCAACAACUAACACUUCUCAUGAGCUACCUUUAUUGUUUCAAUCUCUUUUGCAGGAAUUCCAAGAUGUUUUCCCCGAUGAGCUACCUCUGGGUCUACCUCCUCUUCGAGGCAUUGAGCAUCGAAUCGACCUUAUCCCCGGAGUGCCUCUCCCAAACAAAGCUCCAUACCGAGUCAAUCCCGAAGAAACCAAGGAGAUUCAACGGCAAGUACAACAACUCAUCGACAAUGGUCAUGUAUGUGAAAGCUUAAGCCCUUGUGCCGUUCCCGUUAUACUCGUGCCUAAACCCGAUGGAAGUUUCCGCUUGUGUUCCGAUUGUAGACCUAUAAAUGCUAUUACCGUUCGCUAUAGGCAUCCCAUUCCUCGCUUAGAUGAUAUGCUUGAUGAGCUUAGCAGAGCCAACUUUUUCUCAAAAAUUGAUCUUAAACGUGGCUAUUAUCAAAUACGCAUUCAAGAGGGUGAUGAAUGGAAAACUGCUUUCAAAACAAAAUUUGGAUUAUAUGAGUGGUUAGUUAUGCCUAUGGGUUUAUCGGAAGCUCCCAGUACUUUCGUGCGUCUUAUGCAUCAUGUGCUUCGGCCUUACAUUGGAGUCUUUGUUGUGGUUUACUUCGAUGAUAUUCUUGUGUUUAGCAAAACCAUGAAAGAGCAUAUUAAUCAUGUUAAAUCUGUUUUGCAAACCCUUUGCAAGGAACGUCUUUAUGCAAACAUGAAAAAAUGCACGUUUGGUGUUGACAAAGUGGUUUUCUUGGGUUUUGUUGUCUCUUCCAAGGGUGUCCACGUUGAUGAAUCCAAGAUUAAGGCAACUAAAACUUGGCCCCAACCCACCAAUUUGCAACAAGUGCGUAGUUUUCUUGGUCUCGCAGGUUUUUACCGUCGCUUUGUCAAAAACUUUAGCACAAUUGCCGCUCCUUUGCAUGCUUUGAGUAAGAAGAAUGCUCCUUUUGUUUGGGGAUCUUUGCAAUCCACCGCUUUUGAUGAACUCAAGUCUUUGCUUACUCAUGCUCCGAUUCUUGCUUUGCCCAAUUUUGAGAAAACUUUUGAGGUUCAUUGUGAUGCUAGUGGUACUGGAAUUGGCGGAGUUUUGAUGCAAGAAAAACGAGCCAUUGCUUAUUUUAGUGAAAAACUCUCCGGUGCUCAACUUAACUAUCCCAUCUAUGAAAAAGAAUUGUAUGCUUUAGUGCGUGUGCUACAUGUUUGGGAACAUUACCUUGGACCUCAUGAGUUUGUCAUCCAUACCGAUCAUGAAACGCUUAAGUACUUAAAAGGUCAAACUAAAUUGAACAAGCGUCAUGCCAAAUGGAGUGAAUUUAUUGAAUCUUUCCCAUAUGUGAUCAAGUACAUUAAGGGUAAAGAAAAUGUAGUUGCCGAUGCACUUUCACGCAUAUGCACGCUUGUAACUAAACUUGAGUUGAAUGUUAUUGGUUUUGAGCAUAUCAAAGACUUGUAUGAGCAUGAUCCUUCUUUUGCUACUCCUUAUGCUAAGUGUUUGAAAAACACGUCUUGGGAACGAUACUACAUAAAGGAUGAUUACCUUAUGAGAGCUAACAAACUUUGCAUUCCCGAGUCUUCUCUUCGUUUGCUCCUUUUGCAAGAGGCUCAUGGAGGUGGACUCAUGGGACACUUUGAACGCGACAAGACAUUCGCCACGCUCUCCAAGAACUACUUUUGGCCCAAGAUGUUCCGCGAUGUCUCACGCUUCACCAACCAUUGCUCUACAUGUCGCAAAGCUAAGUCUAAAGCUCAAUCCCAUGGUCUUUACAUGCCUCUUCCUAUUCCUUAUCAACCUUGGGAAGACAUUAGCAUGGAUUUUAUACUUGGUUUUCCUAGAACUCAAAAUGGAAAGGAUUCCGUGUUUGUUGUAGUGGAUAGAUUUUCUAAGAUGGCACAUUUCAUUCCUUGCAACAAGAUAGACGUUGCUUCACACGUUGCAAAUCUCUUUUGUAGGGAAAUCUUGCGUCUCCAUGGAGUACCAAAGACAAUCGUCUCUGACCGCGACGUCAAGUUCUUGAGUUACUUUUGGAAGACCCUAUGCGCCAAGCUCGAAAUCAAGCUCUUGUUCUCAUCCGCAUACCAUCCUGAAACCGACGGCCAAACGGAGGUGACGAACCGGACUCUCUCCACUCUACUUCGCGCGUUGAUCAAGAAGAACAUCAAGGAGUGGGAGGCAUGUCUACCCAUCGCCGAGUACGCCUACAACCGUGUAAGACAUUCGACAACCAGCAAGUCCCCCUUAGAGAUCGUCUACGGCUUCAACCCAUUGUCCCCAUUGGACAUUCUACCUCUUCCUCUACAAGAGCGAACCAACCUCGACGCAAGUGCUCGUGCAAGUUACAUCAAGAAGAUGCAUGAAGAUACAAAGCACACCAUCGAGCGCCAAGUACAACGACUAGCGACCAAGCUCAACGUCAACAAGCAACCCAUGGUCUUCAACAUUGCUGAUCUAGUGUGGCUACACCUUCGCAAGGACCGCUUCCCCAACGAACGCAAGUCCAAGCUUCUCCCUCGAGCCGAUGGACCUUUCAAGGUGCUAGCAUGCUACAACGACAACGCCUACAAGAUCGACCUACCAUGAGGCAAGUACAAUGUGAGUGAUAUCUUCAACGUGAAGGACCUCGCGCCAUACCAUGGAGAUGAGGAUUUUGAUCCGAGGUCAGAUCUCUCCCAAGGGGGGGGGGAGAUGAUGCGGAGCAUCCUUCCAUCAUCCCCAUGGACACUACUUCGACCACACAAGCUCCAAGUGGACCCAUGACAAGAGCUCGAGCACGUGCCAUCCAAUCCGAGGUUAAAUCUCUCCUUGUUGAACUUCCCUUUGACCCAUUUGAGACAUGGCUACUACCUCAAACGGAGACGCUUUGCAUGCUCAGGUACCAUGUAAGCAACCAAGGAAAAGGAAUGGUGCAAGACGGACAUCAAGAUCAAGGAGGCAUUCUGCCCAGCCUGGAAGGACCGGUACAACCGCCCAACAACCGCCCGGGCGGAACAACCGACCGACUACCGCCCAACAACCGGCCACCUUUCUGUGAUCAAGCGGUGCAAGGCCGGUACAACACCGGAUGUACCGGUAAUUCCCAAGAGACCGGUACUACCGGCCCAGCAACCGGUACAACCGCUGGAGCCCCGACGUCCAUCUGCAGAAGCCAGCACCUGACCCCAGCGGUAGUACCGCCUUCCUCGCCCGGUACUUCCGCCCUGCAUGAGUUACCAGCGGUACAACCGCCCCCAUGACCGGUACAACCGGCCUGUCUGCACGUAGUGUAACGGGCCGAGCCCAUGUACCCCUUCGCCCUCACUUACCCCUUCGUGGCUCUAGACUAUAUAUACUCCUCCACCUCCUCCUCGUUAAGGUAGCAUUGGUUUAGCUCAUAUUUGUGUGAGAGCCUUGCUCAUCCACUCGGUUACUUCUCCUCGGAGCUCACGACCUCUUCGGAGAAGAUCCCCCGAGCGGAUUCAAGACCCCUUUCUAGGGAAGACCAUCAAGACCUCCGUACGGAGAAGAACGGUUCCUUUGUAUCCUUACCUUUGUUGAUUGUGGAUCAUAUGUUACUCUUUGUUGUCGGUGAUCUAGCACUCGUGUGAUUGAUUCCUUGUCGGUUUAGUGAUUCUCUCUCUCGUUUUCCCCGUGUUUCCCCUUUGUUCUUCCGUGUUUUCUUUGUGAUUCCCGUAGGAUCCACUCCAAACGUGAAAGAUCGUCACCAUAGGGUUACGCCCUACAUCAACUGCCCUUCUUCAAGCUGAUGAAGAAGAAGGGCCUGUUCGAAUGGACGGAGGAGGCCGACAAGGAAUUCCAAGGUCUCAAGAAGUACCUUACCAGCCCUCCGGUGAUGGUGGCUCCGCGCCCUCAGGAGCCCUUGGUGUUCUACCUUGCAGCCACGCCCUACUCCGCUAGCGCAGCCCUGGUGGCGGUUACGGAGGAGCGCCGGGCCGAGGCCGUGCCGGCCGCGGCCCCGGCCGAAGCGGAGCAAAGCCAAGAAAGCCUUGCGAAGACCGUGAUCAUGGCAGAUGAGGAUCAGCAUCAGUAGGGGGACGCACCCAGAGCGGGGGAGGCCCCGCCAGGCGACCAGGCGCUGGGGGCUCCGCCACCUCGGGAGACGCCUCGACCUCCAGAAGACGCAGGCCACGCCAACACCCUCAGCCUCGUCGAGCACCCUGUGUACUUCAUUAGCACGGUGCUGCGGGAUGCAAGGGCGGGAUACCCCAUGACCCAGAAACUCCUCCUUGCGUUGCUAGUGGCCUCACGCAAGCUGUGGCACUACUUUCAAGGCCAUCCCAUCAAGGUCGUCUCAUCAUAUCCCUUGGAAAGGGUACUCAGGAGCCCCAACUCAACUGGAAGGGCCACUGAAUGGACCAUCGAGUUGCAAGCGUUUCAGCUGGAAUUCAGCACGACCAGAGUCAUCAAGGGAGCCGCACUCGCAAAUUUUGUGGCAGAAUGGACGGAGGCACCAGGGCUCGAAGCAGGCGAGGAUCGGUCGCUUUCCCCAGGAAGUGAUGCGCCUGACGGCUGGGUCAUGUACUUCGACGGGGCAUUCUCGCGACAUGGCGCGGGGGCUGGCGCAGUGCUCAUAUCUCCCACUUAGGACAAGCUCUACUGUGUCGUGCAGCUCUGCUUCCAGCAUGGAGAGAAGGUCUCCAACAAUAUAGCAGAAUACGAGGGUCGGAUAGCAGGCUUGAAAGCUACAACCGCCUUGGGGGUAAAGCGCCUCAUCAUCAAGGGCGACUCACAACUCCUCGUCAACUUCUUCAACAAGGUGUACGAGCCGAAGGACGAGCACAUGGAAGCAUAUCUUGCAGAAGUCCACAGGAUGGAGAAACAGUUUUGCGGGUUGGAGUUGCAGCAUGUGCCUCGCGGCACCAAUCAAGAGGCUGAUGACAUCGCCAGGAGGGCAUCCAGGCGGUUGCCUCAGGAGCCUGGCAUUUUUGAAGAACGACUCUUCAAACCUUUAGUGGCACCGUCACUAUCAAGCAUAGCGCAGCCUCGGGAGGAGCUCCCCCAACCGCCUGCUUCGGGAGCCCUGGCUUGUGGCCCGUCCUCAGGAGCGCGCCUGCUCCUGGCGCUGGAGCCUCAGGAGGGAUGUCAGACCAUAGAGUUUAAGGAUUACUUGAUGCAAGGGAUUCUGCCAGAAAGGGAGGAGGAUGCGGAACGCGUGGCGCGGCAGGCCACGGCCUACUGCAUCCAAGACGGAGAGCUCUAUCGAAAGCGACCGAAUGACGUUUCCCUGUGUUGCAUCUCCAGGGAGCAAGGGAAAGAGUUACUGGUAGACAUUUACGGUGGAGACUGCGGGCAUCACUCGUCCUCACAGACACUCGUCGGCAAGGCGUUUCGCAGCGGGUUCUAUUGGCCAACAUCACUCAACGGCGCGAUCGAGCUGCUGAAGGCCUGUGAAGGCUGUCAAUUCCAUGCCAAGAAGAUCCAUCAGCCGGCUCAGGGCCUUCAGACCAUUCCCCUCUCAUGGCCAUUCGCUAUUUGGGGACUGGACAUCCUUGGCCCAUUUCCUCGGGCGCUAGGGGGCUACCGCUACCUCUACGUCGCCAUUGACAAGUUCACAAAGUGGGCAGAGGUGGAAGCUGUCCGCACCAUCCCGGCUGGCUCGGCGGUCAAGUUCAUCAGGGGCCUCGUGAGUCGGUUUGGGGUGCCUAAUCACAUCAUCACCGACAACGGUUCGCAGUUUAACAGCAAUCUCUUCAAAACAUAUUGUGCUAACCUUGGAACGCAGAUAUGCUACGCCUCGGUGGGACACCCUCGGAGCAACGACCAAGCUGAACGCGCCAACGCGGAGGUCCUGAAAGGCCUCAAAACUCGGACCUUCAAGAAGAAGCUGGAGGCCUGCGGCAGGGGCUGGCACGACGAGCUUCAGUCCAUGCUAUGGUCUAUCCGCACAACCGCUACCAAGUCGACAGGCGAAACCCCGUUCUUCCUCGUCUACGGUGCUGAGGCGGUCCUCCCUCACAAGGUCAGGCAUCACUCUGCGCGGGUCCCGGCUUUCGACGAAGCACAGCAAGACGCCAUGCGGGGGGUGGACCUCGUGCUGGGAGAGGAACACCGUCGGUAGGCUGUGCUUCGGGCUGCAAGAUACCAACAGGCGCUGCAGCGGUACCACAGCCGCAGCAUCCGCCCCAGGACCCUCGAGGUUGUUCAUAUCUCCAAGCCUAGCACCGCACGCUUGGAGACUCAGGAGGGGGUGCCCAUCCCGAACGUGUGGAACAUCCAGCACCUCCGGAAGCUCUACCCUUGAAGAAAGGCCCAACGCCUGUAAAGAAGGCCCAACGCGUGUGAAGCUAGACGAACCGAGAAAGGUCUGGUGCCUGUGAAGAAGGCCAACUCCUGUGAAGCUCAUCGCCCCGAGAAAGGCCCGGAGCCUGUGAAGAAGGCCAAUGCCUGUGAAGCUCGCUGCCCGUGACACUCUCACGUAAUAAUGAGUUGGGGUUGUACACGCCCCGGAGUCUCCGGAGAGCCGCCCUCGGGCCUCGGGGGCUCCCGCCCACGCCAGUGGCAGCACUUAGCUCCGCGCUGGUGAGAAGACGUCAAAGACUAGAUUAGGUGCCGGACACGGCUUUUUCAUUUGCUUUCUGCAGUUAGCUUGUUUGUCCCUAUUUGAAGUUUUAUUGGAAGUUGCUUUUAGUAUUGUUGCCUUCCCCGACCUGUGACUCUUUGUCUUUGUCGCCUACUUGACUCAUUUUCUCUCUCGCAAGUCUCGCGAGGGGGCUAUGUGGGUGCCCUCGCGAGUGUUUCCUGACCCAGUCUUGUGAGGCUUUCCUAUCCAAGUCCACCACGGGAGCACUCCUCCCGGUCCAUGCCCCACGGACAUCACGACAUGAACACAGGACCUAAGUCGGUUGCCCUCACGACCGAGACCGAAAAUCACCUCUCCUGACUAAUUCUUGCAGACCACGAAGUGCACGACAAGGCCUCAGCCUCGAGAAGCAAAGACUGCGACGAGACCCCCCAAGAUAAGUAAUUCUUACACGCAAGCACGCGACACCAAAACACAGCACAUGAAUAAUGAAAAUAACAUAAUGAUUAACGACAACAGUCCAGCACGCCCCUGUGGGGCCCUACACUACUCUCUCUCUUUGCGUAGGGAAAGGAGGAAAACAAAAUAGACAUGGCUUGCUCGGCACCGACUCGUGCCGAGGGCUCGUACUGCCUCCGGAGCUCAGUCAGACCCCUCCUCACACUUCACCGAGGCACGAUGGCAGGCUGGCCCGCUACCUCCCUCGAGGCAAGCACGACGGUGCAGAGGCUAGUCGCGGCCACCGCUGGAGGAGCUGCUAUCCGAAGGGGAGCCGCCGAGGCUUGACGAGCUACGAACGCCACCGGCCACAUGUCCGCCUGCAUCUUCAUCCCGACCAUCACCGAGGUUGGGCACCCGGCCGCCGUCGUCGUCUUCGGGGCAGCACCCAACGCGGCAGCCGUCUUCUCCAAACACCCUCAUGUAGAGGGUGGCGUCGCCGUCAAACUUGAAAUGCAGGGUGCACCGCCAGCUCAGGCCACGCACGUGGGCAAACGUUUGCCAGCCGCGGGUCAGGGCCACAUUUCCGGCGAUGGAGAUCUCCAGUGAGGCCCAGGAGGCCCUGCUGCAGCAACCAUCCUCUUGAAGCCAGAGGCCGCCAGGAGCGCCGGCCGGGAGUUCACCUGCAAAGAAGCGGGGGAGCUGGAGCCAACUGCCGGUUGGGUCCACUGACCACACGACGAACUCCAGCAGCACCUCCGCUGAGUGGAAGCGUGGCCUGGGAGGCCCCGCAGCCACAACGCGCCUUCCCUCAUCCACCAGGCGCCCAGCACCGCGCGGGAGAUCGCAGCCGCGACCGCGGGGAGCCGUUGCAGGAGACGCAGGAUGCUUGCGGGGACGACCCCGGCCGCGCUUGGGCGGGGGAGAGUCAGGCCCUUCCAGACGAGCCUUUCCCUUCUCCACGGCCGAGAACCUCUUCGGCGGCGCCAUAGAAGACGACGAGCAGUGGAGAUGGGGAGAAAGAAGGAAGUAGGGUGGAAGAUGUACAGCGGGAGCUAGCGCAAUCCCGCCUUUAUAGCCAGAGGAGGCCAACCGUCGGACUCCACGAUCACAAGUAAUCAUGACCUAUUUCUGCAUGUAGGGACUUGUCAAGUCGAGCAGUUGCCGAGGCAGCAUGGGGAAGCAGAGGCAGCCACGUCCAAUCAACCGCCACGCGGCGCCCAAGGCCGCAGGCCGAUGGCCCGCGGCGCUCCGCACUUGCCCCUCCGCUUCUCCGCUAAGCCGAGUCUAAGUGCGCCUUGGGCCCGGGGGCUACUGUCGGCGUUCUGGGAACGGGGGUCCCUAGACUUGCCUGCCUGCGGCCAUCUUCAUCAGCGCAAGACUUAAGACCCUCGCGAGGGGCCAAGCCUCGCGGGGCGGACGACACAGAACUUCCUCAGGAACAGCCUUGCCAGGCAGGCUCGCGAGGAGGCGGAGAGAUCAAGGCAGGGUACCUCGCGAGGUACUCGUGACGCAAGCCAUGACGAUCGAGACCAGGCGGGCGCCAGGCGGGCGUCGGCCUGCGCAGUGUCCUUGUUUCCUCUUUGGUGCAAAGGGGGCAAGCACAGGCGUGGAGUACCGAGGCAUCAGGCAAAGGUUGCCGUUUCAGUGCAACGAGACCAAGACCAGCAGAGCGGCAGGAUGGAGGUCACCGUGGAGCCCAAGACGGCGUCAUUGCCAGUGCCUUUGGCAGCCGAAGACCAACUUUAGUCAGGAUAACUUGUACUAGAUGUUCCCCUUCAAAAUGGCUGUUGUUGGCGCCCUUCCCGCUUAAUAUUUGGAAAGAGGACCAGGGCCUCUAUAAAUAGGACUAGCCACCACAGAAAGAAAGGGGAUUCAUCAAGCACCCAUCAAACCGAGAGGCGAUCAAACUCACCCUAGCAGUUCAUCACACCAGCUCAAGAACACCUCUCGCGAGGUUGUUCUUCUCUUGUACUUUUCAUCAUCAGCCCUUGAGGCAAUCCACCACACCACACACUAGAGUAGGGUAUUACACCACAACGGUGGCCAGAACCAGUAUAAAUCUCGUGUCCCUUGUGUUGUUCAUCGUCUAGCCUAGAUUCCCACUAGUCGACCGGACGUAGGUCGGUAGGGGAAAGAUCUUCGUGCGCACCCCAGAGUUCAAACCUUAAGGGUAUGCCGGAACCCAACAUCCGACAAAGAGGUCAAAACUUUAAGUAGCAAUGAACCCACUCUUUUGGAUUUUAAGGAAUUUAAUUAUGAUAAUUGUUCUUUAAUAGAUUGUAUUUCCUUGUUGCAAUCUGUGUUAAAUUCUCCUCAUGCUUAGAAUCAAAAUAGAGCUUUUACUAAACAUAUCGUUGAUGCUAUGAUGCAAUCUUUUGAAGAAAAGCUUGAACUAGAAGUUUCUAUCCCUAGAAAACUUUAUGAUGAGUGGGAACCUACUAUUAAGAUUAAGAUUAAAGAUUAUGAAUGCUAUGCUUUGUGUGAUUUGGGUGCUAGUGUUUUCACGAUUCCAAAAACUUUGUGUGAUGUGCUAGGUUUCCGUGAAUUUGAUGAUUGUUCUUUAAAAUUUGCAUCUUGCGGAUUCCACUAUUUAGAAACCUAUGGGAAGGAUUAAUGAUGUUCUUAUUGUUGCAAAUAGGAAUUAUGUGCCCGUAGAUUUCAUUGUUCUUGAUAUAGAUUGCAACCCUACAUGUCCUAUUAUUCUUGGUAGACCUUUCCUUAGAACAAUUGGUGCAAUCCUACAUGUCGUAUUUUGAAAUAGAUGUUUUAAAAAAGAAGGGAUUUAAUAGGGUGGGUCCAGGCAGUUUGCAUGUCCAGAAUGACUCCAGUAGAUUCCUAUCCCAGCUGUACGUCGGGUAUUUUUUCAUCAAGUUUUUCUUUUGUUAUGGCCAGUUCCGUUAGCCGAUUGGUUCUCGUCUCCAUGACGUAACUUUCCCCACCGAGGUUGUAAAAUUACCUCGCAUCUUUGUUCCCUAAGGUGGUUUGGUGCGAGACUGAUUCAUUUUUCUAUGUCGUAAUUUUACCUCCCGGCUGCUUCUUUCUUGUGGUUUGGGUGUGCUGCGACUCCUGCGAGUGGUUUGGCUGGGGUGAGGAAUAACUAUUUCUUGCCCUGGGUGACAAAUAGCGCGACCCUAUAUAUAUAUGAUGGACUCCUAUAGGUUUGUUGUUACGGUAGGGUGAGAUUUCAGACCUAGCUAUUUGGGGGCAUGCAUUCGUAGCUAGGAUUCCCUUACCGCCGACACGAAGUGGGGUUCGUAGGGGGUGACUAGCAAUAUUGUGCUUUUGUGCGACACGUGUCACAUCAAAGUUGUGCAUUGGGUAUUCGAACAUCAAACACCCUUUUCAUACAUAUAUUUGGUCCACAUGCAAGUGUGUUCGUGUUUUGACCCUCUCCCGCAUUAUUCUUUUUGCCAAAUUUAUAAAUAGCACAUGAGUUGGAUGUAGAAACCGUCUGCGAUUGGGUACACAACAAACACGGUUCGGUCAGACUACCCGUGUGCCACGCUCGUGCCCUGCAGUCCCUCACAUCAGCACGGUAGAUUAGGCCCCACGAGGCUUGCCUCCCGGUCUCAAAAAUAUCUAAUGCCUCGUAAUCUCAAAAAUAUCUAUCGCCUGGAAGGUUUUAAUGUCUGAUAGCACAUGAUUAGUAUGUGCGGACCGUGUGCGAUGUCUGUUACUCCCGCUCUGCUUCAGUCCCUUGAUUAAAAUUUUCAGUAGCCCCGACAUUUUACUCCCGCCUCUGCAUCCCUCGCAAUCUAAAAAAAUAUAUGCUCGCCCUUGAUCCAAAUUUUCAGUAGCCCCGCCUUGUUACUCCUGCCUAGUAAAAUUUCCAGUUGCCGCGCUAUUUCCUCAAACACCACCUUGCCCCCCCCUCCACACACACCACACACUCCCCAAAACCUCCGCUCAUACAGACACACACCAUUGGUAGAUCGCCGCCGCCGCCGCCUCUGUCCUCAAACUUUGCCUGUGUGCUAGGGGUGGUCCAUAGCGGGCUCUUUAUCGAUCUGCCAUCGCAGGUCACCCGAUCCGCCCGCCGUCGCUUCCCUACGCCGGUUCAAGGACUUCCCCGUCCUUCCUCGGGCCCGGCCGGUGAUGAGGUCCUACCUCGGGGUCCGGCAGUAGCGGUGGGGGACGUGGGUUGCCGAGAUUAUAGAUCAUGAGACCCACACCCGCCGGUGGCUCGGUAGCUUCCACACGGCCGAGCUCGUGGCCAUGGAGUACGACCUCUAGCGGGUCCGCUACCACGAUGUGGCGGUUAGGCUCAAUUUCCCCUUUGGGACAUGUCCGGUCGACCUUGUUCCGUCGGAGCCAGGGGUGGUGAGCUCGGCUAUGGCACGGGAGGACCGCGAGGCAUGGGAGCGCCUCGAGGCCGAGGCCACCGACGAGGCCUACAUGCAAGAGCUCCGCUGGCAGCACCCGGAGCUCAUGGAGGCGGAGCGGGUGAUCUUUGCCGGCAUGGAGGGCGGGGAGGUUAUCGUGCUCUCCUCUGAUGAUGAGGUCGAAGGCGGCGAGGAUGGCGGCACGGAGGGCGUCGAGGUGGGCGGCGAGGACGAGGAGAUCGACAUCGACGAGUGGAGGAGUGCCUUCCCAAUGACCCCGACGACGGCACCGGCCCGGACCCGGCUCGCGGUACACCGUACCUGACGAGAAAGGAUUGGCUCGACCUCUACUUCGACCGAAAGUAGUUUAGCUUAGUUUAAAUAUAUGUUUUAUGUUCGGUUAUGCAAAACUAUCUAUGUUUAGGUUUGAAUGCAUGCUACUUUCGGUUGAACCUGCUUUGAACUUGAUCAAAUUGAAGUUUACAACGUUAAGUUUAGGGGAUCGACCAAAAACGGCCAAAAAUUGCUGGAGUAUAUAUAUAUAUAGACACACACACACACACUAAGGGUUUUAGUCCGUUAACUUAACUUUUAAAGGAUCAGCUAGAGAUGGCCUUAUGCCUUGUUUAUUUCAGUUCUUCACAAUGUGGUGCUCUAUAUGUGAAGGAAAUAUGCCCUAGAGGCAAUAAUAAAGUUGUCAUUUUAUAUUUCCUUAUAUCAUGAUAAAUGUUUAUUAUUCAUGUUAUAAUUGUAUUAACCGGAAACUUGAUACAUGUGUGAAUACAUAGACAAAACACCGUGUCCCUAGUAAGUCUCUAUUAGACUAGCUCGUUAAUCAAAGAUGGUUAAGUUUCCUAACCAUAUACAUGUGUUGUCAUUUGAUGAACGGGAUCAUAUCAUUAGGAGAAUGAUGUGAUGGACAAGGCCCAUCCUUUAACUUAGCAUAUUGAUCAUUCAGUUUUAUUGCUAUUGCUUUCUUUAAGUCAUAUACAUAUUCCUUUGACUAUGAGAUUAUGCAACUCCCGGAUACCGGAGGAAUACCUUGUGUGCUAUCAAACGUCACAACGUAACUGGGUGAUUAUAAAGAUGCUCUAUAGGUAUCUUCGAAGGUGUUUGUUGGGUUGGCAUAGAUCGAGAUUAGGAUUUGUCACUCCGAGUAUCGGAGAGGUAUCUCUGGGCCCUCUCGGUAAUGCGCAUCAUAAUAAGCCUUGCAAGCAAUGUGACUAUUGAGUUAGUUGCGGGAUGAUGUAUUACGGAACGAGUAAAGAGACUUGCCGGUAACGAGAUUGAACUAGGUAUGAAGAUACCGAUGAUUGAAUCUCGGGCAAGUAACAUAUCCAUGACAAAGGGAAUAACGUAUGUUGUCAUUACGGUUUGACCGAUAAAGAUCUUCUUAGAAUAUGUAGGAACCAAUAUGAGCAUCCAGGUUCCGCUAUUGGUUAUUGACCGUAGAAGUGUUUCGGUCAUGUCUACAUAGUUCUCGGACCCGUAGGGUCCGCACGCUUAAUGUUUGAUGAUGAUUUGUAUUGUAUGAGUUAUGUGAUUUGGUGACCGAAUGUUUUUGGAGUCCCGGAUGAGAUCACGGACAUGACAAGGAGUCUCAAAAUGGUCAAGAGGUAAAGAUUGAUAUAUUGGAUGAUAGUAUUCGGACACUGGAAGUGUUCUGGAGUGUAUCGUGCACAUAUCGGAGUACCGGGGAGGAGGGUUAACGGAACCCCCCGGGGGAAGAUAUGGGCCAUAUGGGCCAUAGGAGGAGGCAUACCAGCCCACAAAGGGGUGGCACACCCCCCCCCCCAGGGAAGGAGGCCGAAUUGGACUAGGAGAGGGGGCGGCGCCCCCCUUUCCUUCUCCCACCUCUCUCUUUCCCCCUUUCCCCCUCCGAUAAAAGGAAAGGGGGGUCGAAUCCUACUAGGAUCCCAAGUAGGACUCCUCCUACUUGGGGCGCGCCUAGGGCCAGCCUCCUCUCCCUCCCUCCUUUAUAUAUGGGGGGCGCCUCUAGAACACACAUCAAUUGUUCCAAGCCAUGUGCGGCGCCCCCUUCCACAGUUUACACCUCCGGUUAUAUUCACGUAGUGCUUAGGUGAAGCCCUGCACGGAUAACUUCACCAUCACCGUCACCAUGCCGUCGUGCUGACGGAACUCUCACUCGACACUUUGCUGGAUCAAGAGUUCGAGGGACAUCAUCGAGCUGAACGUGUGCAAAACUCGGAGGUGCCGCACGUUCGGUGCUUGAUCGGCUGGAUCGAGAAGACGUUCGACUACAUCAACCGCGUUAACCAACCACUUCCUCUUUCGGUCUACGAGGGUAAGUGGACAUACUCUCCCCUUCUCGUUGCUAUGCAUCUCCUAGAUAGAUCUUGCGUGAGCAUACGAAUUUUUUUGAAAUUACAUGCUACGUUCCCCAACAAUAUGUGCAACUAUUUGCCGUGUAGUUCAAUUUCAUCAAUAUCACUUUCAACAAUACCACUAUGAAUUACGAUAUUUGGUUGUUGUUAAGGAUGUUGUAGUUAACAUGCCUUUUCAUUUUUUUAACAAUAACUAGUGUACUUUAGACCUGCACAAUAUCAGUUUGAAUGACUAUUUGCUUGUUUUUAACUGUUAUGCCUAAUGCAGUUAACACACCUUUUCACUUCUUGUUUUGCUUAAUUAGCGUGCUUAAGCCUGUAGACUAAAGCUAUCAUUUGUAGAUUAUGUUGUAUACCAUGGACAUAUUUGGUUGAUGUUUAGCCUGUUGUGCUUAAUAUGCCUUUAUAUGUACUCAUACAGGGCAAUAUUGAGAACAGUGUUGUUUUCCAUCGAGGUUAGUUUCAUCGCAUUGCUUAUAUGUACUCACUGUUCAGGAUAUUGGUAGCUGGUACCAUAUAGCCUGGGGGCUGAUAAGGGAUUAAUCAUUGAAUCAGACAUUUCACUGAAUAUAUUUGUAACCCAUUUAUCAGUAGGUUAACUAGGGUCAUAUUUAAUAUAUCUGAGGCUACAUAGCAACAUGCAUUGUACUGAAUGACUAAAUAAGCAAUCUCAGGCUACAUAGCAACAAGGAAGAGUGUUACCUUAAUAUUCUGAUGAUGUCUAGAUAUACAUUUAAUAAAAUCUUAUAUAAUGGGAUGGAGGGAGUAUUGUACUACAUCAUUUUGCAAUUGUUGUUUAGCUUCUAAUAUUAACUUGGUGCUUUUAGGCACUGUUCAAGAAAUCUUCUGAUUCACCGAUUAAUCUUCCGAUUAAUCGCUAAUUGGGGGGUGACCGAGAAGAUUAUGCCUUAUCUUUGCCAUUUAUAUUUUGGACUGAUUUAUCAUUCUGACAAGCGAAUCGGGAAUAUAUUGAUAAAUCAGACCUGUUCAUAGCACGAUGUUUGCAAAAACUAUGUUUAUUUAUGUUUUGUGGACCUUGUUAUGGAAUAUGUACUAUUGUCCUAUUUUUUUUUCCAUUAUACGAGGACUCAAAGGCUAGAAAUAAAGGUAACACUUCUGUCAAAUAUUGUUUUGGUGAUGAAUAUAGCGUAUUUUAGUGUUGGGAACCUGAUAUUUGCAAAAAAUAUCUGAUUAAUAGUCGACUGAUAAAAUCGAUUAAUCGACCGAUUUCCGAUUAAUCUCUAAUUCCUAGCGGAUCGAGACGGUAAUGAUAAGCGAUAUCCUCAACAUUGCUUUUAGGUACAUAGGUCAUUGCCAAAGAUCCACACUUCAAUCCUUUCUGCGUAUGGGGCAAUUGCGAUGAUCUAUCCCCAUCACAAUGAAAUUUCCCAAGAUUACCCGGGCCUAUCGGCCAAGGAUAUAUACUCGUUGAAUACAUUAGUGUAGCGCGCGUGCAGCCCAGAACAUCUAAGGGCAUCACAAACCUGAUAUUGCCUCAAACUUCCGUCGCCUAAACGGUGAUAGUCCCUCUAAGAAGCUAGCUGCGGAGGGAUGGCUCCGCAUAGCUAGUUAGCAGGCUAAGGUCUCGUUAGUUAAUGGAAUUAACCAAAAAAAUCGCUACACCAACUAAGAACGGCCAUGCACCACCACCCAUAGAAUCAAGAAAGAGCUCUCAGUCUGUCAAUCCUUGCUAUGUAACAAACGAGGACAUAGGUAGGUUCCAUCAACCAAACUGAUUGCAUCCAUAUCCCACAGUUAGACAUAAGUAAACAUAUAUUAAACAUACUCAGACAUAUAUAAUAAGCGUACACGUACACAAUCAUAGUUCAACCGUCAUUAAGCAUGCCCAAGCGUACAUAGUUCGAUCCCACAUCUCAUCUCACAUGCUGGCACGAUCCUGAAGCUUCUCCAGGUACUCGGCGUACGCGUCGUGCACCACCGUGCGAGAAUACUUCUACUUGAAGGAGCCAACGGCCCGUCCUCUUGCAUAUGCCAGAACACUUUGAUACGUGUCAUGAAGCUUGUGGUUGCAAAAUGGGCAUCGAUAGCCUCCGUCCCAACUCCUAAUACGCUUGUUAUGCAUUCCCGCAUAAAACUCUCUCAGGAUUUGCCUCUUGUACCUCCUCUGGACAUCUUAAUCCUCGUUGUCCACAUAGUCAGACAGCACAUAUACAAAUAAAAAAAAUGUGGCGUCAAAUUAAUGGUUACAAACUAAUCUCUAGCGAACAUUUGGCAGUUGCCAAAAAUUGGCAUCAAAAAAUCAACAAUUACAUGCUGUGAAGUAGGAUUAGGAAUUUAUGGCUACUUAUUUAUACAUAUCCAGAGAUUAUGCUUUGAUUUUUAAGCACAUCCGUCUAUGUAUAAACCAAUCUUGAAGAAAAUAAUGGUACAAAUAUAUGUAGGUCAUUCAAAAUCAAUUGUCAAGUCCUGGCUAGGAAUUAUUAGCACGAACACUAACCCUAGUCGGAUUACUAGCAGAAAUCAUUUCCAUAGAUGAAACAACUAAUCACUUAUCACUUGUACCAUUCAAACAAUCAAUACACUACACGGAUCUAACGGAACUUACUCAAAUUUCAUGGAUUGGGGGAACAUAACCAUAGGAUUUCUAUUCCAAAAAAGGGGAGGCAGGAGUAACCAGAGAAACCCUGAGACCUAUUUUUGACACAUAAAUGGGUAUAGAUGACUAACCAGCUAUCCAUCGUCAUUGGAGUCGUCACCAGAGUCGGUGUGGAACUCCGCCUCCGGCUGUGGAAGCUCGACGCCGUCAACGAUGUCAGGGUGCAGUGAUAACUCGAUGGCGAUGACGGCAACCUCUGUAUCCAUCUCCACUCCGUGCUCCAGUGCUUUAGCAGCCCCGACAUCGCCACUCCCUCCGAUGGGGUGCUUCGGUGGCAUUCUCAUACACUGACGGCUUUGAUGACUAAGAGCGGCGUUGAGGAUGCAAGCGGAGAGAGAGGAUUGCAUGCUCGGGCGCACCAUUAAUAUGGGAGAGCUCUUAAUAUGGAGUAGUGGGAGAGAGGGGGCGGCGAUCAAACUGCUGACUUGCCUCCCGGUGAGCCUGCGCACCGGACUACUAGCAUGUGUACCGUCAUUUCACGCAGCUACUCGCACGCCUCCCAAUGACACUGCGCAGCGAGCAUGCCUCCUUCAAUUCACACACCUGCACGCACGCCUCCCGGUCUGCCUGCGCGGCGGACUGCUCGCAUGCGUCCCGUCAACUCAUGCCUGCUCGCAUGAUACACGGGUUGCGUGGCGGCACGUAUAUUGUUUUUCUACUUGGAUGAUUAAUGAUGUCGCUUUCUUGCUUAACCAAAGCAUGGUACGUAUCCAUUGUUGGUCUAACGCUCACGGUUCGAAUAAAUAGUCCGUUUGGGAUAUUGGUUCCCAAUUGUUAAUAAUCCCCGUUUGUAAUUAGAUAAAGAUUACAUCAAAACUGGUCUCAAAUUUGACCAAAAAUAGUAUAAUGCAACUUUGUAUAGGUGUCCAUAUGACAACACAAUAAGUUUCAUGAACUUCAAAUAAGUCUUGGAUGUACUAGAAUUUAAAAAUCAAGAUUCUCAUUGUUUGAAAUUUGUUGCACGGGGAGUAAACAUGCACCCAGUAAGACACAUGUGUUUUUGCAAUCCAUUUAGGUGCACUUUCACGUGUGCAUGUAGCUCAAAUUUGAUUUUUGCACAUUAUGCCCGUAGAAAAUCAAUCAAUUAAUGUACUAAAACGUCUUAAUGAUCUCUGACUUUUUUCAAAAUUAAAAUGUCCCUCUUUUGGUAACAUAUAUAUGUUCACCGCGAGAUAAUUAAUUUAACAUACAUCGUAGUUGCGGUGGAUUCGUGGUGUGUGUGUGGGUGUGUGCGUCUGGGGCUGGAAGGUAGCUCGCAGUACACUAUGAGUUGCGAGCCACCAUGCGGGUUGGCCAUUUUGUUAGGCAGGCCGGUGCCACAUCAGAGUCGUGAAUUCUUAAUUUAAAACAUUACACAACCCUUUCAUACAUACAUGUUUUGGCUUCAUGCAGUCGACGGUUGUCCUACAUGACACUCGAUACUCGUGUAUGACGCUUUCUGUGGCCCCGCGAGGUCGUCGUCCAUCACUUUGACGAACAACCGGCAGUGAGGUUAAUUUGACCGGCAAGGUAGAAUCUUUUUUUGUUUGUGUUAUGGUGGUAUAUAGUACGCGUCGAAGAGGUGGGAGGGGACUAGUGUGUGUGUGUGUGUAUACACACACACAUACAUACAUACAUACAUACAUACAUAUAUAUAUAUACAUGUCCGUGAAUAAAUACACCUCACUCAGUGUCGGGACUUUUCAGUUUCUGAGGCACAUGCCACAUCAAAAUUGAGAAAUUGGCUAUUCAAACAUCACACAACACCUCUUUGCGCCACAUGCAUGCAGGCGAUGGUUAUUGUCCUAACUAGGACACUCACAUGUGACGCUUCCAUCUGUGGGCCCACAAGGCCAUCGUUGAUGCAUGCAUCACUUUGACCUACAUCAAGAGAGGUUAAUUAAUUUGACCAUCGAUGAGGAUUCUUUUUGGAUUUUAUUACGGUAGGAGCAUAUAGUAUGAGUCGAAGAGGGGGAAGGGGACCAUCAUAUGUAGUAUGCUUCAUGAACCUUGCUCUAUGUGGGUGCAUGGUUUACGGUUUUUGAGGCAUGUAGCACAUCAAAGUUGUGCAUUUUAGGUAUUCAACAUAUGUUUGGCCCACAUGCAAAGCGAUGGUGGUUGUCCUCUCGCAUCCACUUAAGCGGUUAUCAGCGAUAUUGAUGCUUUCCAUCUGUGGGUCCGCUUCGUCCAUCACUACUUUUUGCAUGAAAACUAGAGUGGUUAAUUUGACAUAGGAGGGGAUUGUUUUUUUGCUUGUAAUACGGUAUAUAUAUAUAUAAUAUAUGUAUAUAUAUAUAUAUGCACACACAUGCAUGUGUACGCAUGAAUCCCUCCCAUCGAGUCGAAGUGGCUAGUACAAUGACACAUCAUGAACCGAUCUCGCUCUGUGUGGGAAGAGUGUACGAUUUUUGAUGCACGUGCUACUGAAAUGGUAUUCAAACAUGCAUGCACGCAACACCUCCAUACAUAUGCAUAUAGUGGUUGUCUUUGAACGGUACACUCCUCGCGUGGUUAUCGGCGACAAGCCUAUAUAUUCGUGCGCUCGCGCGGACAUCCAUGAUCACCUUGACCGACAACAAGAUAGGUUACCAUGGCGGAUUCUUCAUUUGGUUCGUGUUAUCGUAGUAUAGGUCAUGGUGAGAUUCAGACCUAAUUAAAGUUUGAGCGCAUAUACUAUGCACGCAUGCAUGCAUGAAUCCCCAUCGUCGGCUUGAUGUGUGGUGUAACAUACGUAUGCAUCAUCAACCUAACCCUCACUCAGUGUGGGGAUUUCUAGUUCGAAAUCACGGUGCCACAUCAAAGUUGUUCCAUUGUGUACUCAAAAACACACCUCUCCAUACAUAUGUUUGGGACACACGCAUGCAGUGGUUGUUUCGGGGACUAGCUACUUGCGUGAUUAUUGGCGAGCUAUCCUAUCUCCAGGGUCGCAUGAAUGACACAUCACUUUGACCAACAACAAGAGAGAGGUUGUACGACCAAGGUGGAUUAUUCUUGGUCCGUUUUAUGAUCAAUCUUGGUGAGAUGCCUCUCUGGCCCGCCUACUGAAAGUGUGUGGGGGGGCUGCUACUUUGCACUUUGCUUGGUGAACCUCGGUUGGGGGGCAUGCAUUCAUAGCUUAGGAUUCCCUUCAUGCUGACAUGAGGGGGGGCUGCUAGCUACUUCGCACAUUGCUAGGUGAACCACGGUUGGGGGGGACAUCCAUUCAUAGCUUAGGAUUCCCUUCAUGCCGACACGAGGGAAGGAGGGCUGCUAGCUACUUUUCACUUUGCUAGGCGAGCCUCGGUUGAGGUGGCAUGCAUUCAUAGCUUAGGAUUCCCUUCGUGCCGACACGAGGGGGGCAAGCAAUACCGUGCGCUUUGCGAGAUAGGUGCGACAUCGAAGUUGCAUUUGGUAUUUGAAAAUCAAACCACCCUCUCAUACAUAAAUUUGGUCCACAUGCAAGUGUGUUUGUAUUCUGACCCUCUCCCGCAUCAUUUUUCGCCAAAUUUAUGAACAUUAGACAAGUCAGAUGACGCAACAGACACGGUUCACUCAAACUAACUGUGUGCCACGCCGGUGCCCCUGUCAUGCACACAUCCGCACAGUACAUUGGGCUCCAUGAGUCUCCCCCUCUCAAAAAUAUAUACCGGCCUCAAGGGUUUUUCUGUUUCAUAACAGGACUGUGUGCGAUGUUUCUUGUUCCCAAUCCCGCCUGCAUCCCUAGAAAAUAUUUGCCCGCCUCGAGGUUUUUUUUGUUUCAUAACACACACGAUUGUUAUCUCCGGACCGUGUGCGAUGUUUCUUGUUCCCAAUCUCGCCUGCAUCCCUAGAAAAUAUCUACCUGCCUCAAGGGUUUUUCUGUUUCAUAACACACUGUUGUUAUCUCUGGACCGUGUGCGAUGCACCAUCAUCAAAAUUUUCAAAAUCCCCGGCAUUUGACUCCCGCGUAGUAAAAUUUUCAGCACCAGCAUCAUUUCCUCAAACACACACCCCCUCCACACACACAUGCACCAAAAACCCCUCGGGCGCGCGCGCACACACACACUCUCCCUCGCUCGAAACCCUAGCAAGGUCCCCACCGCCACCACCGCAAGACCUCCAUUGUCAACAUCUGCCGGUUUGCCCGUGCAGCUUACCCACCGAUCUCCAUACCUCGGCCGCCUUGAGUUUCUUAGAUGACGCCUGCCAAACGCCUCCUUUCCCACAGAUCCCCAUCCCCCACUCUGGAGCAUCGGAGCCUAAGCCCGGCUACGCUUCCCGUGGAGCUCGAGGAGCAACUAGCCCAAAAGAGGUGUAUCGCGGUCUCAUCGCCUGACGUCACCGAGGAAGCUGACGACCAUUACUGGCCGCAGACACUCAAUCAGCGGGCUAGAGUAUGUAGGUAUGUCGCGGACGCCGGCUACGGCAUCGAGGUCGUCGACAGCGACGGCCUGAGGCAGGCUAUGUCACCGGUUAAGUGGCCCAUCCCCAACCCCUCGGGUUCAACUGUCGUCGAUCUCGUCCAUGGUCUCGCCGCUGAUCUCCUCUGGCUCGCUGUCAAUAAUUUGCCAUCCUACAUCACCAUCGAGCCCCUUUUGUCAUUUCUGAAGGACACGUUCUGCGACGCUGGCUUGGGAUCCACGGCUUCCAAGUCAGACCUCAUCGAUGAUGACCACGAGGAGGGCACCCUCUCCGGCUCUUCCAAGGGGAAAGAGUCGUCUGCGACAUCAGGGAGGGCACCCUACAGUCGUGCUCUUCGAAGGGGAAGGAGCCCAUCUGCGACAACAUGGAGCGCAUCCAGGGUCCGUCUCUUCCCACGGGAACAAGCCCAUCUGUGACAAGUGAGGAAACCCAUGAUUUUUUUUGCCGUGCCUCUUCACAGGGGGAAAACCAUGAUUUGUUUUGUCGAGUCCCUUUUGUAGUGUAGUGAGAAUAUGUCCAGUUUUAAUUCUAUAUCUGGUUGUUUGCAGUAUGCCUUGUUUAUUUCAGUUGUUCUAUAUGUGCAAUUAUUUACUAUGCAGUACAUUUCAUCAAUCCAGUUUUAAACAUACCGACAGGAAUGCAUAUAUUUGCUUGUAGUUAAGCCUGUUAUAGCUAGCAUAUGCCUCUUUUAAAGUUUUUUGAUUGUUCUGUUGUUUGUAGUUAGCAUAUGUCCAGUUUCAAAUGCUAUCUUUGAUUGUUCGUAGUAUGCCUUGUUUAUUCCAGUUAUUCACAACAUGAUGUUCUAUAUGUGCAAGUAUGAACUGUGCAGUUCAAUUUCAUCAGUACCAGUUUCAACAAUACCACUAUGAAUGACUACAUUUGGUUGUUGCAUCUUGUAGUUAACACGUCUUUCCAUUUUUAUUUAACAAUAACCAGUGUACUUAGACCGGCACAAUACCAGUUUGAAUGACUAUGUUUGCUUGUUGUUAAAUGUUAGGCAUGUUGCAGUUAACACACCUUUCCACUUGUUUUGCUUUCUAGCGUGCUUGAACCUGCACAUUGAAGCUAUCUUUUGGAGAUUAUUUUGUCUGCCAUGGAUAAUUUUGGUUGAUGUUUAGCCUGUUGUGCUUAACAUGCUUCUCGAUGUACCUACAUAGGACAAUUUUGGGAAUGACUGAUGUUUCCCAUCGAGGUUAGUUUUAUCCCAUGGCUUAUAUAUGCUCACUAUUCAGGAUAUCGGUAGCUGGUACCAUAUAGGUCGGGGGCUGAUAAGGGACUAAUCGGUGAAUCGGACUUUUAAUUGAAUAUAUCAACAACCCAUUUAUCGCUAGGUUAACUAGGGCCAUAUGUAACAUAUCUAAGGCUACAUAGCAACAUGCACUGUACUUAAUGUCUACAUAUGCAAUCCUACGCUACAUAGCAAUAAGGAAGAGUAUUACCUGAAUGUUCUGAUGAUGUUUAGAUAUACGUAGAAGAGCAUCAACAACAACAACUACAACACAACCAUGUUUGGAUACUCAACUUAGCUAGAGGUUAGAGUUAGUUUCUAGCUCAUGACUAACCCUGAACUAACUCCAUCCAAAGAGGUGUUUGGAUGACAAGGUUAGAUACUUAGAUUGACAAUAAAUGCACUAGGAGAAUUAGCUCCAAUUAGCACCUCUUGGGUUGGAUAGUUUUUUUGGGUGGGUUAUAGAUAAAACUAGCUGAAACUAGCCCUCAUGCUUAGAUAUACUUUAGGGCUAUUUAAGCCCGAACUAGCUCAAACUAACUCUAAACCAUGGAUACGGCAGCAGUUAAUUAGCAAAUAAUUUGUAAGAAUGCAAUAAACUCCUUCCGCCCCAUAAUAUAAGAUGUUAAUUCAUCUCAUAUGUGAGUAUAUUGGAUGUUAUAAGAUAUUAUAAAAGAGUGUUGUACUACAUCAUUGUGCAAUUGGUGUUUAGAUUCUAAUAUUAACUUGGUGCUUUUAGAUAUAUAUGUCAUUGGUAAAGAUCCGCGCUUCGACCCUUUCUGCGUAUGGGGAAAUGAGAUAUCGAUGAACCAACACCAAGUGAGGAAGCUGAUAAAGAUUGUUAGUAAAAUGGGUCAAAAGAUGGCAAUUAAACUAUUUGUUUACACUUUAUCCAAUACAACAGCGAACUGCAGGAUGGUAAGUAAGAACUCUACAUCCUUCUUUUUAUUGCCCAUAAUGAGUUGUAUUAGAUGACAAUGUCUAAAUCUUUUUUCCUUUGUAGUGGUUCCCAAAGAAGUUUACUCAAGAUUAUCUCUCGAACUACAUGAUUGGUGGGCAUGCAAAGGUUAAAGUAUUUCUACCAGAACACGAUGAUUAUCUAGAUGUUUUCAUGAAGAUUGUGAAGGAUGGGCGGUCGACCAUCACAAGGGGUUGGACUAGAGUCGUGCGUGCCUUGUGCAUGGAGGAGGGCACAAUAUGGGCAUUCCGCUUCACCUUGUUCAGCAACCAGAAUGUAUUUCGCCUCUUUCUUUACCGUCUUUAAUAGUACAAGUAUACAAUUGUGGUUCAUCAUUCUUUAUUUGGUUCUUAUGUAAUUUUUGAUAUGUACCUAUGAAUUGAAUAAUGCAUUGGUUGUCUGAACCUGAUGGAUAUGAAUAAAGCUAUAGCAUACAUUCAAAUUCAAAUCCGGUACAAUUCGAUAUAGCAACAAUUAAAUUACGGUGAAAUUAUGCUCUCCAGGUCAUUACGGCACACACGGUUGGUAAAACACAAACGUCUGCGAUAUACACCAUAAUCCGAGACGGUUCACAGAGAGGAAACGUGUGCAAGCGUGCACACAGUUGUCGUUUACAAAACGUGUGCGAUAUCAGACAAUAUCACAAACGGUGCAGGCAAACUAAAUGUUCGUGAUGGUUGCCUUAUCAUACACGAUUCGCAACCAUGAAUUGUUUCUGAUGAAGUAAGCAUCGUAAACGUUGCACCACAGAAUAGCGUGUGUGAUAGUUGUCGUGUACGACGAUGUUACGACUGUCCGACGUUUCAUAAUCCUAUCCGACACUCGUAUGACGAUUAGCUAAUCUUCUUAAUUAGUUAUCGCAUAUGGUUCGAAAAAAACGGAUGUGUGUGAUUGUAUACUUAUCAUACAUGUUCUAUAAUAGUGAACCGUUUGUGAUGGGCCGCGCAUCGUAAACGUAGCACCGCAGAAUACCGACUGUGAUGACAAUGCAAGCACGAACAAGUAGGAGUAUUGUAUAUGCAUCUUGGCUCCCUAUCCCCGGCGAUUUCUGGGUCGUGUGGGAAGGACCCCCCUAUUGCCCACACUCACUUGGCGACGGUUCCAAAUGUCGUCGUGGAAAGGGGUUAAAAACCGUUUGUAUAGCACCGACGUGUACCAGUGAUUCAAGAGGGUGUAGAGAAUAUCUCUCUGAAUUGGGGUUUAGGGUUUAGGGGAUCUCAUCUUGGUCAACCAUGUCUCGCAAUAUAUUUCACGACUAACAUGAAAGCUACCUUUAUAACUACCCUGUUACGGAGUAGCGUUUAGACCCUAAGUAAGUCGAUUCACAUCCCGAGUACAUGUGAAGACCUCUGGUCUAGGAUAUGGAAUAGACAUUGUACUUGAGACUAACAUAUGACAAUAUCUCACUGCUUACAUGACUAACAUAGUAAUCAUACAAAGCUUAGUCAAAAUCAGGAUCAUCUACUGAAAAAUCUUGCCAAACAUGUGAAAAAAAUAUUAAGCAAACAGAGAAGCAUGAAACAAAAUGCAACCAAAUAACUAAGAACCCGAGACAGCUGGAAAAAUCAUCCUCGGCAAAAACACUAGGAACAAAAUGAUCCCCAUCUGAAUCAUCGCUCUCUUCAGGACAGCCGACAGGAAUGCCCUUAGAACAACCCUUCCGGACUCUACCCAUAGUAUAAACUAUUUCCUAAAAAUGGUUAAACAUACAUACAAAAAAAUAUUGAGAAGUAUUACAGUAUGAAUAGCCACAGGUCCAGUGCUGAUGAACUAACAAAAAUAAACUCCGGACAUUACACACGUUCAAUAAUUGUCCAUUGCAUAAACAUUACCAGGUUGCAUAAAAUGGAGCAACAAUAGAUAACCAUUCAAUCCAAACAAAAAAUAGUAAUAUCUACUGACAUAAGGCAUAUACAAAUACAAAUACAACACUGAACAAAAAGGUGCAAUUUACAAAUAUAAAGGACUCAAUACACAAAGAUAACAACAGAACACAUUAAUUGAGCCAAGAAAAAUACAUACAAUGAAAAUUAUUACAGUGAACAAAUGCCCAAGGAGACUACUAACUGAUAUUAUACUUAAACUAGAAAUUACAUCUAAUGAAAAAUAGCUGGCCACAUUUCACCCCCCUGCAAAUACCAAAAACUCAUAUUAGUAUAAGCAUGACAACAAAAAAUACUAAUAGGCAGGGAAAACUAAACUAAAUCACUACCUACCAUGCUUAUAAAAAUCUAAAUAGUCAAGCAUCAGCCAUGAAACUUACUAAAUCACCGGGUAGCAAAUUGAAACUUACAAUAACUACAAAAACAAAUAAGGAACUACAACUCAGGGAGAAAUACUCAACAACUCUGGGUAGUUAACUAACCUAAAAUCAAUGUUCCACAACAAAGGCAUCUAUAUAGCUAACUAAGCUAACAAUAACUAACAUCACUCGUUCAACAAAAUCUCCUACAAAUUACAAUGAACCUAAUACAACCAAAUCAGCAAACACUACUAACCCUGACACAAUCAACCAGGGGGUGCAUACGAUGCAAAAAGAACUAACCAACAGCUAAAUCACGGAUCCAAAUGGUCAAAAAGAAAAAAACAUAUCACGCGAACAACAUACCCAAGUACAUCUAUCAGAAGAAAUAAAAUCCUGCAAAACCUAUGGUGAAACUAACACAACAUCAUACAAUGGUGCAUGAGCAAACCUACGUAUCAGAGAACACAAGCAAAACACAAAUCUCAGCAACGAAUUAAAAUCAGGAACAAAAAGAGCAAAGAUGCAACGUUGGGGGAGAAGCAGUAGGGGGAGAGAUGGAAUGAACCACGAAUCCCAGAAGAGCACCGGACGCCCGACCACCAAACCCCCCAAGCGAGCAGCAAGGUAGAGCUCCAAACCAAAAUCGCCAUGCCUCUCUCUCUCUCUCCGAGCCCUUGAUGUGUCCGCCACUGGACAGGAGAAGGGAAAGAGACAAAGGCAGCUACAGGGAGGAAAAAAGAAAAAUCCAAAAUAAAGGGGGACUCUAACCAAGAGAUACCGGACGCGUGAAUUAACGGGUCUCCUUGAAAAUUUUACGGGUUCGAUAACAACCAACCAGCCCGAGAGCUGAAAGAAAAGCAUAAUUGCACGAAUCUCAACAAAGAGAUCUGACAACAAAAAAGAAUGAAAGCCAAAAGUUUUCACCUGGCUGAAAAAAGUUAGAAAUUUACAUGAAGUAGUCAUAUUUUUCAUACGAAAAUAUAAAUAGUCAUAUUUUUUACAUUUCGUACAGGUUAUUGUUCUAUAGCAUUUCCUAUGACCAUGAAUUUUGCGCAUUUUUGGAAGUCACAAAGUUUUAAACAAUUUCAAAUCCGGUCUAGUAUUUAUUUGAAACAGUUUUUGAAAUUCAGAAUGAACCUUGCGGAACAUUUUCUUCUCUACCAAGAUGUCCCAUUUCUCAUUACUUUCCUAAAGGAGCCUGCAGCAGUUUAUUGUUUUGGCAGCAUGAACUAGUUCAUCAUCUUUUGAGCAUUUCGUUAUUGAGUUUAUACAAAAAGUACUAGUUCAUGCUGCCAAAACAAUAAGCUGCUGCAGUAACCAUACACCAUAACACAUAAUUUUCAGCCACACAGCUCUACCCAAUAGUACUGCUCCAUCCCAUUCCAUACCACGUCUGAAAACACAACAUUCACCAGACAUCUCAGUAGAAGACCGACAACACACCCGAGCAGCAGCGCACACAGCUCUACCCAAUAGUACUGCUCCAUCCCAUUCCAUACCACGUCUGAAAACACAACAUUCACCAGACAUCUUAGUAGAAGACCGACAACACACCCGAGCAGCAGCGCACACAGCUCUACCCAAUAGUACUGCUCCAUCCCAUUCCAUACCACGUCUGAAAACACAACAUUCACCAGACAUCUCAGUAGAAGACCGAACACACCCGAGCAGCAGCGCACAAUGGCAGGUAAACAAGCUAGAGUUCUUGAUUUGAAACUGAAAAGCAUUCUAGAAUUCAUGAUCCACAGAAGGGAGCGAUCAAACGCCUAGCCUAGAAGGUGAAGAUCUCAGCAGGUACAUGACCAUGAAGAUAAAAACUCACGUUAGUGACAGCGAGAGCUACAGCAUUACAGACGGCGGCUAAAUUAAUCUUACUUAGGGAGAAACAGCAUGCCAGAGAGCAAGAACCUAAACCUCCUAGCUACCAGGUCGGCCAUUGCUGGUCGACGGCAGACGUUACAGCAGUACCAGCUCCUCUCCAGCCCAGCCAACAAAUGGGGCUCUCUUCGAAGGCUUGAGCAUGCGGUGUUAG